CAAAAUGAAGGGAUGCCUUUGGGAGCAAAACCUUGUGGAAAUCACCAGGCACUCCAGCCGCAAGGUAGUGUCUCUCUGGUGGAAGUGAAGCAAAAAGUGUGUUGAAAUCAUUAGAUAUAUGGUCAUUAAAAAAGACUUGAAACUCAGGGACUUAGUCCCUCUUUUCUGAGUUUUUCCUCCAGGGCUUCUCUUAUCACUUUCAUGGCCACAAAUGUAUUUGGUCCUGUAGAGCAGCCAAAAUCUGCUAUGCGAAAUGGAUGCACAGAGGUUGAAGAAAGUUGCUUGACAUCAAGUUCUUUGUCAAUCUCUUCUUUGAUAAGUUCUUUUGCAACCUCUACUGCUCCUCUCUGCCACAGAAAAAAAAAAUCUUACCUUAGACAUUUAUAAUGAGGUAACUGCAGUUUAAACUAGCAACCUGAAAGGAUGAGUUUUGGUUAUAGCUUUGAGGUCCAUUUCCUCCAUUCAUGGCAUAUACUUGAGGCAUUUUUUCUAUCCCCCGGCUGCUAGGAGAUUUUUCAUAAGAAUAAAAAUGCUCCCAAUUUUUUAUUCUCCAAGUUAGAAUGAGAAACAAUUUAGAUAGAUAAAAGGAAGGCAGACGAAAGGCUGCCUUAUCAACCAGCAGCCCCUUUGGGCUAGUGGCCACCACUAAGCUAUUAAAGGUUUGGUGGGGUGGAAGGCAAGGGUUCAAAUCUUACCUCUCAUCAAUUAUCACAUUAAGUGGCUUAUUAAAAAAUUCAGACAGGUGUGUACUCGUUUGGUGCGGUGAUGAUUCAAUUUCCACUGGUCUGCCCUAAAUUCAAUUGGGUCUCUCCUUUACAUUAGGAUAGUAUAGGAUACUGUAGAUAAAGUGACGAUUGACCAAAAAAAAAAAAAAGAAGAAGAAGAAGAAGAAAGAAAGGCUGCCUUAUCGUCAUUAUGAGCCACACAAUUUUUUAGCUGUAGCAAUUAUAAAAUAGAAAGAAUCCUAUUAUUGUUGGCAAUGUGGAUGUCUCAGCCAAAAAUGGAACUUGCAUGGAUUGCGUGUAGCGAGAUCGAGGAUUUGAUGCCAUAUAUGUAUAUUCUCUUGUCUUGAUAUCUCUGUCUAGAUGGUCUAAUUUAUACUAGGCAGAGGCUCAGGCUCAAGUGUUGUCUUUUAGCCCUUUACACCACAGGCAUUUCUAUUAAUAAAUAUGGGAAAAAAAGAGAUACACACAUGGUAAAAUAUCUCUCAAACAUAUGUUAUGGAUCAUUUUGUGCAUAAAUUGAAUUUAAUUUAAAUUAUACAAUUUGUGCAUGUAAAAUAUCACCAUUCUUUCCUGGAAUGCUUAUUAUCUCCAUUCUCUAAAGAUUUUAGAUGUUCAUUUGUCCUCAUCUGGGUCUCUAUCUCAUUAGGAGAUGGGAAAUAUAGUGGCGUGUUGAACAUAUCCACUUUCAAUUCAUCGACCAGUCCCUGCAAUAGGUGCAUCUUAGUAUUUAAAGUAAUUUUUUUUUAAAACCAAAACCUGCAGUCAAAAUUGGAAGAAACACUUUGACCAAAACUCAUUCUUAUACGGUAUAUGAAAAUUAGAGGAACUGUAAAAUAAAAAAUUCCUACUUGUGGAUUUGCAACUGCUAUUUUUAAGCUGAAGACAUGUUUCAGAAAUUAUGGAACAUAGUUAAUAGCUUGUUCAUGACCAAGGAGGCAUUCCAUUCAUUCUCUGCCAUUGGUAUAUUAUGCCUGCAGAUUUGGUUGAUUUUGAUAUUAAUCAGAGGAAAUGUUGGAAAAAGAAAUUAAUAAGAAGAAAUGUUGUAUUAAUUUUCUGAUAUGAUUUUCUAUUCUGUCCAUGUCUGUUACAAGUAGUAAACUUGACAUAUGAAGCCCAUCCAUUACUUUGUACGGUUUUUUUCAGCGAAAUAAGUAACAUAAGUUAGAGGGUAAGGACUUAAUAUCAAAAUAAUAUUUUAUAUUUGCAAAUAGGAAUGAAAAAUGAACGAGACUAUGCUAUACUCUAAAUGAGGUUGAAUUAGUAAAUGCUAAUUUGUGCUUAGUUCACCAAUUAAUUAAACCAAACAUGAACAACAUUUUGUAUCCAAUAAAAUUUCAAAUCUGAAAUCGAGCUUGGCUGACUUAACAUGGUAUAUGAAAUUUAUAUGUGAAAAAUUCAAUCAAGUUCGACUGGGUAAAAGCUCAUCUAAAUUCAUCGCAAUAACUAAAUUAAUUAAAUUUAAAUACAAUUUUAAACUCUUUAGAAUAGAUAGACAAGGUUGAAUUAGGAAUCGGAAUACGAACUAAAUAUAGGUUAUACUGUUAUGGUAGUUAUGAAAAAAAGUGUUCAUGAUAUAUUUAUAACUAUAUUGUUUUUCUAUUUUUGAUUUGCAAUUACUGAUGUUAUUCCUAUAGAGAAUUUGAUUGAUUUUGAACUCUAUGCCAUUGGAGUAUAUAUAUUUUGAUAUUAGUAGUGAUGGCUUAAAUUAUUUUGUAUUAUAAAAAAGUGGUAGCCAUGGAAUUGAAAUUUAAUGAUAUUCAUGAAUAUUGUUGUGUAUUAAGUAAAAUUUGAUAUUGAUAUGAGAUUGGAGGUAAGCUUUCGGGUAUAUGAUGUAGCGUUAAUAGUUUGAUACAAUGGUAUGCAUCAUAAACUUUUAGGUAAAAGAGAAAUAUUAGAAUAAAUAUAAGUGUUUAUUUAGCAGUGAUUUGGAUUUUGAUGGAAAGGCACUACUGAUAGCAUGUGAGGAUGAAUGAGAUAGAGACUAUGAACCUUUUUUUUUUCUUUUUAUUUUUAGUGUGAAUUAUAACUGAAGGGCAUUGUAGGAUUUUUGAAAAAAAAAAAAGCCUAGACUUUUGGACCUACAAUGUUACUUAAACAAUGAAAAUAUAGGAGGUAGGUGUAAUGUUUAGAACUUAAGGGGAGCAUCCUGAAAUUAGGAAAAAACUCAAGAUAAGAAAUCUAAAAUGAGGUGAAAAACAAAUAUCUUAAGAGAAAAGUGAUGAAAUUGCAACUAGUAUGCCACUUUGCUAAGUUAAAUUGGCGAUUGAAAAGGAAAAAUCCUUUAGUGGCCAAAAAGUGCAAGUUGAAUGGAUUAGUGGUCAAUAAAAUUUGUUCUCCAAUCAUUGGAUGAAAUUGCUUUUGAUUUGGCACGGUGAAUGCACAUGGAACUCAUUCUAUUGAUACUAAGAGCAAUAUUUAAUAAAAUGACCAAAAGUAUACUGAUUUAAGAGUUUAGUGAUUAUAUUAAAAAAAAAAAAAACUUGAGCGGCCAAAAGUGUACGAGCGUACGAGCGGAAUAGUUUAGUACCUGCUGGGGUUUUUCGCCCUUUCAUGCAAUAUAUUGGGCUUGUGAAAUAAUAUUGACUUUAUGUGUUAUACAAAAAUAAUUCACAAAAAACAAACUUAUUCUAAAAAUUUUCAUACAUUAUACUGACAAUUGUCCCUUCUGUGCUGAAGGCAUAAUUAUAGACCAAAUGUAGAUGGAACAAGGACGUUAGUACCUUGGAAUUAGACCUAAAAUUGAACUUAGAUAAGAAUUUCACUAAAUUGUACCAUCCAACUAGCAUUUUAAAUAUCUGCAAACAAAGCAUUUUUUCAUAUGGUAUGAGAAUACUAAAAAUAGAAAAUUUUAAAUACAUUACCCUUACUUGAAUUAACAAUGUGUUAACAUGUGUGAAAUUAACUUGUUAUUUGCAUGCGUAACUAAGUUGAAAAUUAUUACGACUACAUGAUACCCCUUCUAAUUUCAAAUCUCCAUGUAAGGUGUAAUUAUCAUUUUUUAAUCUGUCUUUGAAACAAAAAAAAAAAAAAAAGAAUCUACGUUGUUAUUCACUAGAACGUUACAUGCAUUUAAUCUUCAAAAAAAUUCGUGGAGGAGAGCUUGGUGUGAACCCAGUGAGUUUUUACUAAUAAAUCGUACCAUGCCUUCUAACUAUUAAUUCUUGAAUUGUUUCUUAUCAUAAAAGCACAUUAUCUAUCAGUAUUUUCUUGAUGACAAUGAUAAAUAAUUCAAAGAAUAGUAUUAUGAAGGCAAUUUAUUGAUAUUUCACAAAAGAAAAGUUGUUAAUUAACUCUUUAUAUACUAUAAGGGCCCCAAUGUCUUAUUAGUGUUUAGGAUGUGUAUCUAGGAUUGGAGGGUAUGGAUUUAACUCCUUCCUUUUAUGAAUUAUUUAAUUCCAUUGAUUUCUUCCUAGCAAGAAUUUUCCUCUUCCAUGUUCUCUUAUUUAGUUGUCAUCAAUCAACAAAGAAUAUAAUCUUAUUGGUAGGUAAAUUUCAGAUUCUAGCAUACCUAAUAUGCCCUAUAGUACAUACAUGCAAUUCCUUUUUUUUUUUUUUUUUAUUGUUAGGACAUAUGCAUCAUUGGUUGGAAGGAGUAAAGGUAUAGGAAACAAAAAGUCAUAGAUACUACUACUAUUUUAUAUUUAUUCCAAAGAGAAGUCAAAUGAAAUCCUUCUUCAAAAUUACUAAAGAACAAUAAGGAGGCAAGAAAAAAGGAUAGACAGCAAAGCAAAGCAAAAUCAAAGUUCAAACUUUCUUUAAAAAAAAAAAAAAAAAAAAAUUCCCCAAAUGCCCAAUGCCUAAAAUGCAUUAUUUGGGCCGAGUUAAGUAAAGACAAACUAACUCUGGCGGUGGACUAAUCCCCAAGUGAUCCAGCAGCCCCACUCUGGCCUCCCCCUUCCAAUGUUCCUAUUGCAUUUUUUUGCUUUUGGGGGUAACUCCUUGUCUUGUUGAUCAUUGUUUCGCUCCAUCGUCUUUGAUCUUUCCCAUGUCUAGUCUUUCUCAUGCAAUUUUCCAUUCAAUUAACGAAUUCCGGUAAAAGGAAAAACUUUGCAGCACAAGGAAAAUUAUGAAACGUCAAAAUGGUGAAUCAUUCAUUAGUCGCUAAAAAGGAAAUUCGCAAUUUUUUCUCCACUACCUUGGCCUUACAUAAAAGAAGACAUCAGUUAAUCCUUUACCUUUUUCAAUCUGGGCUCAUUAAGUAAAAGUCGGUACCAAAACAAAACCCUCAUGAGUAGAAUAGUAUUGCAGUACAUGAAUUCAAAUGACAUUUCAAGAAUUUUAAAAAUUUCACUCGCAUUCUUGUGAAUUCUAAAAAGUUAAUUUGUAUUAUGAAUUUGGCCUUAAGAAAUUAUUCUGAUAUCAGCUACUUGCCCCUCUUCCCAAGCUUGAGAAUUUGGUAUUCUGUUGAAAUAUUUUUGACAUUUUACUUUUGCCCCACAAAAACUUCAAACCUUCUAUUUCCAAACAUCGAAGUAAAUGAGCCUAAUUAAAUCAAGCACUCGAGUCUUCAAACUUGUCUGUAAAUUCUAAAUAAUUUAAAAUUGUGUUUAAAUUUGGCUUCUUUAUUCAUUGUUUUGAGUUCACGUGAGCUUUUAUCGAAUUUUUCACAUACAAAUUUGUCACUUAAAUUAGUGAGAAAAUAUUUAAUCAAAUCAUUAGAAAUAUCAUAUGUGGUUAUUUAGGCCACACAAAAUAUAUAUUCUAACAUGAUGUCGUCAACCAAGCUUAUAGUUGGACAAUAAGAUACGUGAGAUUUUAUUCUUUGUUAAUCAUCCAUUAUAAGUUCUUUUGUAUUCAUCCAUUACAAUGGAUAGCUUCUAGAUAUAUAUGCUGGAUUAUGCAAGCUAAUGUUCCACAGUCAGGAGCAGCUGUUUCAAAGCCAUUUCUUGGGUUGCCCUUCGGAAACUAACAACACCAGCACAAUCCAUAAGGUCCACUAAAUUUGUUUCAUGUUCUCAUUUUUCGCUUCAGGAGGACAAAAAUAAGAACCACAUCCUGAUUCUCAGGGUUAAAGAGAGAGGAAGACUCUGCGAGUUUCUGCGUAAACAGUUCAAACAAUUCAUCCAUGAUAUCACUUCCAAAUUGUUUCUCUAGAAGUCCCUCUAAUACAGCUCUGUGGUGCAAAGCAAUUCCACAAGGGUUGGACAAAAACUCAUGCUUUCCUGGAAUGCUUAAUUUCUCCAUUCUCUGAACAUUUAGAUGUUCAUUUGCCUUCAUCAGGGUCUUUAUCUCAUUAAGAGAUGUGUAAUAUAGUGGUAUGUUGAACGUAUCCACUUUCAAUUCAUCAACCAGUCCCUGCAAUAAGUGCAUCUUAGUAAUUAAACUACUUUUUUUUUAGCCAAAACCUGCAGUCGAAAUUUGAAGAUAAACUUUGACCAAAACUCAUAUAGUAUAUAGAAAUUAGAGAAACUGUAAAAUUCCUACUCAUGGAUUUGCAACUGCUAUUUUUUAACCUGCAGUCGAAAUUUGAAGAUAAACUUUGACCAAAACUCAUAUAGUAUAUAGAAAUUAGAGAAACUGUAAAAUUCCUACUCGUGGAUUUGCAACUGCUAUUUUUAAGCUGAAGACAUGUUUCAGAAAUUAUGGAACAUAGUUAAUAGCUUAUUCAUGACCAAGGAGGUAUUCCAUUCAUUCUCUACCAUUGCUUUUCUGUUCUGUCCAUGGUUGUUACAAGUAGUAACUUUGACAUAUGAAGCUCACUUCCAUCCAAUACUUUGCACCUUUUUUUCAGCGAAAUAAGUACAUAAGUUUAGAGGGUAAGCACAUAAUAUCAAAAUAAUAUUUUAUACUUGCAAAUAGGAAUGUAAAAUGAGCGAAACUACGUUACACUCGAAUUGAGGUUGAACUGGUAAAAGCUAAUUUGCGCUUAGGUCUCCAAUUAAUCAAACCAAACAUGAACAAUAUUUUGUAUCCAAUAAAAUUUCAAAUCUGAAAUCGAGCUUGGCUGACUUAACAUGGUAUAUGAAAUUUAUAUGUGAAAAAUUUAAUCGAAUUUGACUUGAUAAAAGCUCAUCUAAAUUCAGUGCAAUAAAUAAAUAAAUUAAAUUUAAAUACAAUUUUAAACUCUUUAGAAUAGAUAGACAAGUUUGACAACUUGAGUGCUUGGCUCAAUUAGCUUCAUUCAUAGCCCUAUUUGCAAGUAAAAGUUCUGAAAUUUUUUGCGGGGCAAAUAUAAAAUGUCAAAAAUAUUUCCACAGAAUACCAGAUUCUCAAUUCUCAAGCUUGGGGAGAAGGGCAAUUUCUUAAGGCAAAAUUAUAAUACAAAUAAACUUUUUAAAAUUCAUAAGAGGGCAAAUGAAUUUUUUAAAAUUCUUGAGGGGUGGCUGCCCCUCCCUGCAAAGAUCCGAUCCAACAAAACUCCUGCCCCGCAGGCUCAUAGAAGUGUUAAAAAGAAUUCCAAAUGUCAUUUGAGUUCAAAAAUGAAUAAUUUAACUAUCUAAAACUAUUUAGGAUAUAUUAGAUCAUAAUUCAAAUUUAAUGUUAUUCAAGUGACAAAGAAAAUCAAAAUUCUAUGUUGCAUCCCUGCAUUGAGAUGUAUUCGCAUAGAGUUCUUAGUUGAAGAUCUGAAACUAAUGAAAUCUAACCUUCUUAGCCAAGUCCAUGAGACAAGAUCCUAGAACUUCAUAUCCUUUCUCUGGGACGAUAGUUGUCUGAGAUUCACGGAUGGCAUCAGGGACAGUAGGAAUAACAAGGGCCAUCAACCCUCCAUCGACGAGCUCGUGUGCCCUUGCAUUCAGAAAUGACUCCAGGUCCUUGGCAAAUUGAGAUGCAUAAACCUCAAGAAGUUCCUUUUUGGCCCCUCCGUGGUGAAUCUUUCCUUUGUUCCAUGCAGGGGACGUGUUGUCUGUAACCUCAUUUGGCACAUCUGAAAGCCAGUUAAGCGUGCAAGACGAGUGAGCAAAAUGAAGGGAUGCCUUUGGGAGCAAAACCUUGUGGAAAUCACCAGGCACUCCAGCUGCAAGGUAGUGUCUCUCUGGUGGAAGUGAAGCAAAAAGUGUGUUGAAAUCAUUAGAUAUAUGGUCAUUAAAAAAGACUUGAAACUCAGGGACUUCAGAUGCUAGUCCCUCUUUUCUGAGUUUUUCCUCCAGGGCUUCUCUUAUCGCUUUCAUGGCCACAAAUGUAUUUGGUCCUGUAGAACAGCCAAAAUCUGCUAUUCGAAAUGGAUGCACAGAGGUUGAAGAAAGUUGCUUGACAUCAAGUUCUUUGUCAAUCUCUUCUUUGAUAAGUUCUUUUGCAGCGUCUACUGCUCCUCUCUGCCGCAAAAAAAAAAAAAGAAAAUAAAUAAAAUCUUUACGUAAGUCUUAUAGACCUUAGACAUUUAUAAUGAGGUAAUUGCAAUUUAAACUAGCAACCUGAUAGGAUGAGUUUUGGGCAUAGCUUUGAGGUCCAUUUCCUCCAUUCAUGGCAUAUACUUGAGGCAUUUUUUUCUAUCUAUAUCUCUUCUCUUACCAUGUCUUGAUAUCUCUGCCUGGAUGGUUUAAUUUAUACUAGGCAGAAGCUUAGGAUUAAGUGUUGUCUUUUAGCCCUUUACACGUGAUAGGGUGCAUUUUAGUGGCAUAUUUUGGAUAAUAUUACGUAAUUGUUUGACUAAAUAUUGCACUAAUUGGAUGGAUUUUACUCAGAUGUGGUGUUUGGUAUUAAUUACAGGGAUUGAUGCUGAAAAGUGCUUAAAAUCACAUUUAGAAGGACUUCCUGAUGAGUAGGCGUGCCCACGUCUAACUCCAGCCCUCAGAGCCGGAUCUCCGUGGUUCGUCACACAUGGGGUACUUCAAGCAGUGGAUUCGCUUAAAAAAAUUGAAGAAAUUAAAUUGUAAUAGGUUUCCUUUUAUUUAGGGAGUGUUGGUAUUUAAAUACCAAUUUUUGAAAAGGAGUAAAAACUAGACUUGGGGGAACCGUUUUGUUUUCCUCUCUGGUGGGACCGGCCGAUAACAAGGAAAUCAAUUCCUUCAUUUUCGGCGGCUACCAACGAAAAAGGGGAUUUUGUACUAUGAGUAGGUUUUGGCCUUGGACAUGAUUCGUUUUUUGGUUUUUGCUUUGAAAGACAAUUGAGGAAAAAACAGAGAAAGGCCCAAUGAAAUGGAAGCAUUGAGAUCUAGUUGAUACUUAUCUUAGUUAGACUUCUUCCAAACAUCUAGAGGCUUUGCUUAAGGUAAAAACACUCGCCACUUGUUCACAAACCCGCUCCGCAACGUUCAUUGGCAGUUGAAAUAAGACAUUCUGGUUUCUAGAAGAAGGUUCCUUCAUUGUUGACUUUUUGAAUUGCUUUUCCUGUCUUGGGUUGACCGAAUUGAAUGAACAAGAGAAAGGUUCUCUCGUAUGUUUUUGCAAACCAAUUAGGAGAAAAGCAACAAUUCAGCCGCCAUUGUUGACUAAGGUUCUCUCGUAUGUUUUUGCAAACCAAUUAGGAGAAAAGCAACAAUUGAGCUGCCAUUGUUGACUAUUGGUUCUUGAUUUUUAUUUUUGGUUGACAAAAAUUGAAGGAAAAGCCAGACUCUCUCGUACGCUUGCUUUGGGGAACAAAUUGAGAGCACGAAAUUCCUUGUUCUUUCCUUUCCUGGGUUGACUUGUCACGCCCCAAGCUCGCACGAGUCUGUCACGUGGCAUCCGUCGUAUUCUCAAAUCUCGCUCAAGAAUACAAGGCAUCAUUUAACUAUACUAAACUUUAAAAAUAUUAAAUAAUAUAACUACAUAAAUUGUGGUACAAAUAUCAUAUAAAAGGUAGUCUACAAAUAUUCAAUAAAUUCAUACAUUUAUUCUCUGAUCGAAACAGCGGAAACAGGGUAGAUAAAAUUAACAACUAGAAGCAGUUAGUUCACUUAAAAACUAAUAAAAGUCAUCCUCAGAGUCUUCUACGUAAAUUAAUUCGUACUCUUCAGAAUCUGCAAAGAUGGUAAAAAGUGGGUUGAGCGACAAAUCGUUCAGUAGGUAAUAUCUACCCCUCUGUUGGACCAUAUACUUGUAACUUUAUAGAUACAUAUAUAGAUACCAAUCAAAUCAUUUGUGCAUCGAUCACAUCCAUAAUCUUGAAAGUAACGUCGUUUAUAAAACAAUCAGUAGUAAUGGGUGGCAAGCAAUUUAAAAGUAUCUUAUUAAUACAUGUACAUGAAAAAUCAUAAAGCCAUAAAUCAUCUCGUCUCAAUUCACAAGUCUCUUCAUAUCCAUUCAUAAAUAAAUUCAUAAAUUAGUUCACAAGUUUCAUUUCAGAUCAGUUCAUAAAUCAUUUCGUAUCAACUCAUAACAAGUACAGGUGAUGACUGGCUACUGAGUACUCAACCUAGAGAUUAAACUCCUUCUAAGUAGGUGACCAAUAAGUUUCAUGACUACCGAUUGGUCUCAUUUCAUACAUGGAUCAAUUGGCCGGACUUUAUACCAGGUUACCAUGACCUUGCCAAUCGGUUGGAAUUUAUACCAGACUACCAUGGCUUUGUCAAUCGGCAGGACUCUAUGCCAGACUACCAUGACCUUGCUAAUCGGCCGGACUUUAUACCAGGUUACCAUGACGAUUAGACAGGACUAUAGCCCCUACCGUCUAUUCCAUGACUGUUUUGAACUUUACUUGUCAAAAAUUCAUUUCACACAUCACAUACAUAAAUCUUUGAUUUCAUAAAAGAUUCAACUCGUUUGGUAUAUAAUAACAUUUCAAAACAUUUCAAAUAAGUCACAUGGUCCAUUUUUGUCUAGUAAAAAUAUAACUUUCAUAAAUAUCCAAGUAAAGCAUUUAAUCAAAUAUAUUUCGAGUCAACACAACAAAAUAAGAUUGAAAACAAAAAUUUCAUUUUUGCACCUUUGAAAUCUCAGAAGGGUAAGUACCAGCUAUCUUCGUUUGGUUGCUCGAGUAGAACUACGUUAGAUCUUUUAAAUUGGUACCGUACCUAUCAAAUGUAUAGGUUUCCUAAUUAGUUGAUAUUUCCUAUAGAUACAUGAUAUACAAACUCUGAGUAAGUCGAAAAUUCAUGUCUAGACCACUGUAUGAACCCUAACAGCAUUUCCCCUAAAUUGGACGAUUUCCAUUUUUGGAAAGUUUCCUAAUUUGAAAAGUUUCUAUUUUUAGAAAUUUUCUUAAUUUGGAAAGUUCACCCUUUUUGUAAAGUUUUAUAAUUUAAAAGAAAAUAAUUAUUCCUAAUUAUGGUUAUUAUCUUGACUAUUAUCUUAUUAUACAUAUUUAUAAUUUAUAAUUAUUCAUUAUCAUUAUUAUCGUCCUUGUCGUCGCUACUUUAUUUUAUUACCAUAUAUAUAUAUAUUUGUAUAUUAGUUACUAUUAUCUUUUGCUUUACUUUCACUUUUGUUGUGUAUGUGUAGGUGUUAUAUUAUUUAUAUAAAUAUUGAUUUAUUAUUAUUAUAAUUAUCGUCUUAGUUUAUUCCAUUUUUAUUUAUCUUUUAAUUUAAUUUUCAUUUAUAUCUCUAAUUUAUUUUAUCUAUAUCUAUAUUGUUACUAUUAUUACCAUUAUUAUUAUUAUUAUUAUUAUUAUUAUUAUUAUUACCGUUGGUGUUAUCGUUAGUAUUAUUAUUAUUAUUAUUGUUAUUAUUUUAAGCGUCUCGUUUAACAACUUAGAAUUUAUUUUACAUAGUCUAAAUUAACCUCAUAUGGCUAAAUUAAGAUGUUUUAAAUUUCUAUUUAGGUACUUUAGACUUGAUCAAUUAAAUAAGAUUUCAAAUAAUUAACCCUUCAAUUCUAACGACUACUUUAGAUUGGGUCCUAAAUUUUAAUACCCACAAUAAACCAUAAAAAUGGACUAGUUAUAUUUAAAAUUUAUUUCUUAAACAUCUACUAAAUUUUAUACUAUAGUUUGGUCCAAAUUUAAAUUGCCUCCCUUUUUAUUUAUUAUUAUUUUCCUUAUUAUUAUUAUUAUUUUUUAUUUUUCCUCGAGUAGGACCCGUGGUUUGGCCAACCAUGUCUGACCAUGGUCGCCAGACUCUCUGGCGACCCAAUUCCUCAAUUGGUUGACCGAAAAGGCCAACCAUAAUCUUGUUCAUUGUCGCCAGCACUUGCUGGCGACAUCAUUAUCAUCAUCUCUUUUUUUUUUUUUGGCCUUAGGUUGGCCAAAAGACCAACAUUUGCAAAUUCUUUCUCUGCCGCUAGAGAUGGCGGCCCCCACCCUUCUUUUUUUUUUUUUUUUUGGUGUGUGGCGUUGCAGAAGCAACGCCUAGCCAAAAUAGAGCAGCGGUAGCCGCCACUACUCUUCUCCAUUUUUUUUCCUUUUUUUUUCCACAGAUUCAAUCAUCCUAUAAUCCCAAAAUUAAAAUCUAACACCCUAUCUAUUAAUCCGGAUAUGAAUCUUCCUAAAAACGUAUUUAUCUACACAUAUGCAGCAACAAUACAUAUCUGUAAAAUUCCUAGGGCAAUUAAUGCAACUAUUAAAACUUAAAAGAAAAGUUUUGCGUGAACUCAGGACUUACAAGUUCAGAUACCUAGUUAUCUGAUCGAUUGACAGCGUCGCCUGCUUCUCCUUCUCUACUCUCCGACGACUCUUGCUCUAGGGAGGCAGACGAAAGAAGGGUGAGAGUGGUGUUAUUUUUCUGUCUAGGGUUUCACUAAAAUUCUAAACCUAGCUCUAGCUACUAGUAGGUGGUUUGGAUAAAAGUUUUAGUUUAUUAGGAACCCUUAUCCCAUCCUAUAGUUAUUUUAUUUUAUUUUAUCUAGUAAUUUUAUCUUUUUAAUUAAUUGAAAAAAUAAAAUAAAAUAACAAAAAUAGGUGCCCAAAAAUCGUGGGUUUUACAUUCUACCCUCCUUACAAAGAGUUUCGUUCUCGAAACUUACGUACCUUGAUAAAAAGAUAGCGAUGUCUAUUCCGCAUGUCUUCUUCUAACUCCUACAUUACCUCUCGUGGUGUAUGGUUCGUCCAUUGCACUUUCACGUAGGGUAUAGUUGUUUUCCUUAGGACUUGAUUCUUAUGAUCCACGAUUCUCAAAGGAACUUCCUCCACUGAUAAGUUCUCCCUCACCUCGAUGGGUUGUCCUCCAAAAUAUGGUUUGGGUCAGAUACAUACUUCUUCUGUUAAGAGACAUGAAAAACAUUAUGUAUCCUCGAUAGCACAAGUGAAAAGGUCAGUCGACAUGCUAAAGGUUCCACUCUCUCUAGUAUUUCGUAAGGUCCUAUAUGUCUUGAACUUAACUUACCACUCCUUCCAUAUCUCAUCACUCCCUUGGUGGGGGAUACUUUCAAAUAUACCCUUUUCUUCCUGUUGAAAUGCUAAAGGCCUCCUCUUUGAAUCCGUCCAACUCUUGUUUCGAUCCUGAGUUACUUUUAAUUUUCCUUGAAUAAUUUUAAUUUUCUCUAAAGUUCCUUCCACCAAAUCGAGGCCAGUGAUCAGUUUCUCACCUACUUCGUCCCAAUAUAAGUGAGAUCUACCCUUUCGCCCAUACAGCUUUUCAAAUGGUGCCAUACCUAUCCUGGUAUGAUAGUUAUUAGUGUACAAAAACUCCAUUAGUUUCACCAUCCUAUCCCAACUAUCCGAGAAGUCUAGAACACAAGCUCUUAGCAUGUCCUCCAAUGUCUGUACAAUUCUUUCUAACUAUCCAUUCAUUUGGGGGUGGAAGGCGGUAUUUGAUCUUAGGUAUCAAUCCCUAUAAUCUGUUGGUAGGGCGACCAAAAUCUAGACGUGAAUCUAGGAUCCCGGUCCGACACUACUUUCGCAAUUCAUUUUUAAACUAGAUAUCACAUUCUCUCCCCUUUUAAAGGUUUCAUCCUCGAAAUCUAAAAGACAUAAACAUCAAGAUAAGUUGACAAAAUUUCCAAUGUCCAAAUUAGAUUUUCCCAUUUAAUUCUAUCAGACUUCUGCUGCACACUCUUAUUUUUCUUAAUACCUUCCAUGUUCAUAUUUUUAUAACUCAAAUGAACAUAAUCUCUCUCACAAAUCCGGCGUUCUAAAUAUCGGUUUAGAAUACUCCAUAGAGAUCAACCUAUAAGAAGGAUGCCAUAAACACUAAUAGUACCAUUUCUUCUUUUGUCACACAUUCUAUCACAACAUACUUAUCUACUAUCACAAAAAGUAAUCAUUAUCUCAAUAUAUGAGUUCCUACCCAAUGUGUUUGUAAUUGGUAACGGAAAUCUCUUAUUUCUCUCAAAUCUCAAAUCUAAAAUAGCAUCACACCUAAUUUCAGAUCCUAUAACCUGAGUUAUUAUACCACUAAAUGUCAUGGGAAUCUUACUUAUUAUCAUUUUUUUUCUAACCUAGCUCAAUUCAAUUUCCGAAAACAUUAAUAUCUCAAAUAUCAUUUCACAAACUUCUUGAUCAUACAAAAAUAUAGAAAAUUUUUUCAAAAAAUUAUCACCAAAUUUUCAUAUUGGAAUAUAACAACUUUAUCAUAACUUUGGUAAAGUAUUUAUCUAUGUGUAAAAUUUCAAACUCAGUAAAGUUUAGAAACAUACUAGUGUUUGAAAUACAUAAGCCAACUAACUAUACUUCUUACAGCAUUAGAAUUUAGAGUACAAAGAGAAUUUAUCAAGAAUUAUUGUUAGAUUUUUCUAUACGAUAAGAGAAAAUAUUUUUUUUUGUAGAAUACUUUUAUCUAAAGCUCUUUUUUUGAGAUUGGAUGAGUAUAAAAAAAAAUAUUUUGCACAAGAUUGUAGGAUAUAAUUAUUCAAUGUAUUUAUUCUUUUUUUUUUAUAGUUAUAUACAUAUAUAUAUUUAGAAACUAUAUUUACCAAGCAACUGUGAGGUAAGGUACAUAUUAAAAAAAUUCUGAUUAAAAACUAUUUGUGCAAUUAAAAUUUUGGUUUCACCGUUUAUUCACUUUUAAGUAAAAAGUAUGUAAAAUUAUAUAUUGUAAGAAAUUUAUGAAAUAUGUAUUGCCUGAUCAUGACGUAAUAAUUCCAGAACUAAUAAUAUCCACUAAUUUAAUAAAUAUCUUGAGCAUUAGAUCUAAUUAUUAUAAACCUCAAAAUAAGUCAACAAAAUUCCAAGAUCCAACGUGUAUUGCUUGCGUUCGAUGACAUCAUAUUGUUGAUCAUUCAUACUUUCGUUGUGCACUCUAAUUUCCUCAACAUUUUCAGUUGUCUCUAUACUAGACUUCAACUAGACAUUAGAUUAUCUAUAAAUCUGACAUCUUAAAUGAUAAACUUAGAAAUGUACUAUAGAAAUCAAAACUGACAAAAAGAACACCAUAAAUACCCCUUUUUUUUUUGUAAGUAUCAAUCAUAUCUGACAGGUGAGCUUGGUUACCUUUUCAACUUAACAUAUACAUAUAGUCACCACUUACUUACUAAAAGUAAUCAUCAUCUCAAUACCUGAGGUCAUUCCAGUAAAUUCGUAAUCUAAAAUUCUAAUACCAUUAAAUGUUAUGGAGUCACUUAUUUUCUUUUAAUCCCUUAUCCAUUUCAUUCCAAUUCUCAAAAUCACAAAUAUCUUCAGUAGCUUUACACCUACUUCCAAUUAUCACAACUUGAGCUUUGAUACUACAAAAAAAUCACAGCAAUCUCUUACUUCUUUUGAUCUAUUUUUCCAUCUCCUUUCAAUUUACAACAGACAAUACUUCAAAUACACAUAAUAUUUCCUACACGUCCGACAUCUUAAACGUAUAGUGUACUACCAAAAUUACAUCCAAUAAAAGGACAUCAUAAACACCAAUCGUACCAUUUCAACUAUUCAUACAUGCAAAUUUUCAAACCUAUUUAUUUAGUCACAAUUGAUCAUUUCCUAGGGUAUACUUCAUCUAAAGAGUAAAUCGUACCUCAUGCUUUGUUAUUACUAAAUAUUAUAAAAAUCUCUUAUUUCACAAUCUUCUAUCCAACCUCAUUCCCAUUUUCUAAAAUCACUAAUAUUACAAAUAUCAUUCAACAUACAUCUAGAUCGCAUAACCUAAACUUUGAUAACAUUAAAAAUCACAUGAAUCUCUUAUUUCCUUUAAUCAUCUUUUCCUUUUCAUCUCAUUUCAAUUCUCAAAACCCCUAAUACCUCAAAAAUCAUUUCACAUACUUUCGGACCAUAUAACCUAAGCUCUGAUACCACUAAAAAUAUCACGCCCCGAACCCGCACGUGCCCGUCACAUGGCAUCGGCCGUAUUCUCAAAUCCCGCUCAAGAAUACAAGGCAUCAUUUAACUAUACUAAACUUUAAAAGUAUUAAAUAAUAUAACUACAUAAAGUGCGGUACAAAUAUCAUAUAAAAGAUAGUCUACAAAUAUCCAAUAAAUUCGUACAUUUAUUCUCUGAUCGAAACAGCGGAAACAGGGUUGAUAAAAUUAACAACUAGAAGUAGCUAGUUCACUUAAAAACUAAUAAAAGUCGUCCUCAGAGUCUUCUACGUAAAUCAAUUCGUACUCUUCAGAAUCUGCAAAGAUGGUAAAAAGUGGGUUGAGCGACAAAUCGCUCAAUAGGUAAUAUCUACACCUCUGUUGGACCAUAUACUCGUAACUUUAUAGAUACAUAUAUAGAUACCAAUCAAAUCAUUUGCGCAUCGAUCACAUCCAUAAUCUUGAAAGUAACGUCAUUUAUAAAACAAUCAGUAGUAAUGGGUGGCAAGCAAUUUAAAAGUAUCUUAUUGACACAUGUACACGAAAAAUCAUAAAGCCAUAAAUCAUCUCAUCUUAAUUCACAAGUCUCUUCAUAUCCAUUCAUAAAUAAAUUCAUAAAUCAGUUCACAAGUCUUAUUUCAGAUCAGUUCAUAAAUCAUUUCGUAUCAGCUCAUAACAAGUACAGGUGAUGACCGGCUACUGAGUACUCAACCUUGAGAUUAAGCCCCUUCUAGGUGGACGACCAAUAGGUUUCAUGACUACCGAUUGGUCUCAUUUCAUACAUGGGUCAAUCGGCCGGACUUUAUACCAGGCUACCAUGACCUUGCCAAUUGGCCGGACUUUAUACCAGGCUAUCAUGACUUUGUCAAUCGGCCGGACUCUAUACCAGACUACCAUGACCUUGCCAAUCGGCCGGACUUUAUACCAAGUUACCAUGACGAUUAGAUAGGACUAUAGCCUCUACCGUCUAUUCCAUGACUAUUUUGAACUUUACUUGUCAAAAAUUCAUUUCACACAUCACAUACAUAAAUCUUUGAUUUCAUAAAAGAUUCAACUCAUUUGGUAUAUAAUAACAUAUCAAAACAUUUCAAAUAAGUCACAUGGUCCAUUUUUGUCUAAUAAAAAUAUAACUUUCAUAAAUAUCCAAGUAAAGCAUUUAAUCAAAUAUUUUUCGAGUCAAUACAACAAAAUAAGAUUGAAAACAAAAAUUUCAUUUUUGCACCUUUGAAAUCUCAGAAGGGUAAGUACCACCUACCUUCGUUUGGUUGCUCGAGUGGAACUACGUUAGAUCUUUUAAACUGGUACCGUACCUAUCAAAUGUAUAGGUUUCCUAAUUAGUUGAUAUUUCCUAUAGAUACAUGAUAUACAAAUUCUGAGUAAGUCGAAGAUUCAUGUCUAGAUCACUGUAUGAACCCUUACAGCAUUUCCCCUAAAUUGGACGAUUUCCAUUUUUGGAAAGUUUCAUAAUUUGAAAGUUUCUAUUUUUAGAAAUUUUCUUAAUUUGGAAAGUUCACCCUUUUUGUAAAGUUUUAUAAUUUAAAAGAAAAUAAUUAUUCCUAAUCAUGUUUAUUAUCUUGACUAUUAUCUUAAUAUACAUAUUUAUAAUUUAUAAUUAUUCAUUUUCAUUAUUAUCGUCCUUGUCAUCGCUACUUUAUUUUAUUACCAUUUAUAUAUAUAUAUAUUUGUAUAUUAGUUACUAUUAUCUUUUGCUUUACUUUCACUUUUGUUGUGUAUGUGUAGGUGUUAUAUUAUUUAUAUAAAUAUUGAUUUAUUAUUAUUAUAAUUAUCGUCUUAGUUUAUUCCAUUUUUAUUUAUCUUUUAAUUUAAUUUUCAUUUAUAUCUCUAAUUUAUUUUAUCUAUAUCUAUAUUGUUAUUAUUAUUACCAUUAUUAUUAUUAUUAUUAUUACCGUUGGUGUUAUCGUUAUUAUUAUUAUUAUUAUUAUUAUUAUUAUUAUUAUUAUUAUUAUUAUUGUUAUUAUUUUAAGCGUCUCGUUUAACAACUUAGAAUUUAUCUUACAUAGUCUAAAUUAACCUCAUACGGCUAAAUUAAGAUGUUUUAAUUUUCUAUUUAGGUACUUUAGACUUGAUCAAUUAAAUAAGAUUUCAAAUAACUAACCCUUCAAUUCUAACGACUAUUUUAGAUUGAGUCCUAAAUUUUAAUACCCACAAUAAAUCAUAAAAAUGGACUAGUUGUAUUUAAAAUUUAUUUAUUAAACAUCUCCUAAAUUUUAUAUUAUAGUUUGGUCCAAAUUUAAAUUGCCUCCCUUUUUAUUUAUUUUUAUUUUCCUUUUUAUUAUUAUUAUUUUUAAUUAUUUUUCCUCGAGUGGGACCCAUGGUUUGGCCAACCAUGUCUGACCAUGGUCGCCAGACUCUCUGGCGAACAAUUCCUCAAUUGGUUGGCCGAAAAGGCCAACCAUAAUCUUGUUCGUUGUCACCAGCACUUGCUGGCGACAUCAUCAUCAUCUCUCUUUUUUUUUUUUGGCCUUAGGUUGGCCGAAAGACCAACCUUUGCAAAUUCUUUCUCUGCCGCCAGAGAUGGCGGCCCUCACCCUUCUUCUUUUUUUUUUUUUUGGCCAAAACAGAGCAGCGGCUUCUCCAUUUUUUUUCCUUUUUUUUUUUCACAGAUUCAAUCAUCCUAUAAUCCCAAGAUUAAAAUCUAACACCCUAUUUCUAUUAAUCCGGAUAUGAAUCUUCCUAAAAACGUAUUUAUUUACACAUAUACAGCAACAAUAUAUAUCUGUAAAAUCCUUAGGGCAAUUAAUGCAACUAUUAAAAUUUAAAAGAAAAGUUUUGCGUGAACUCGGGACUUACAGGUUCAGAUGCCUAGUUAUCUGAUCGAUUGAUGGCGUUUGCUUCUUCUUCUCUACUCUCCGACGACUCUUGCUCUAGGGAGGCAGACGAAAGAACGGUGAGAGUGGUGUUAUUUUUCUAUCUAGGGUUUCACUAAAAUCCUAAACCUAGCUCUAGCUACUAGUUGGCGGUUUCGAUAAGAGUUUUAGUUUAUUAGAAACCCUUAUCCUAUCCUAUAGUUAUUUUAUUUUAUUUUAUUUUAUUUUAUCUAGUAAUUUUAUCUUUUUAAUUAAUUGAAAAAAUAAAAUAAAAUAACAAAAAUAGGUGUCCAAAAAUCGUGGGUUUUACAUGAAUGAUUCGAGAAACAAGAAUUGAUGGCUCCUGUCACAUAUAUUCGCAUGGGCCGCUCUCUAAUUAUGGAGAACUAAAUCCCUAAUUCUAGUCAAGGGGGCAACUGACGAUUUGGUUCGCCAAUUACAGUGAGAUCUAAAUCGCUUUUGAUUAUUUUUUUUCAUUUAUUGGUAUUUAUAUGUUUCCUACUAUUAAUUGUUAUAACUCUUGUGUAUGAUUGAUUAGUGCGUAAUAAUUAAUUAUUUAUAUAGGCUAUUUUGUUAAUUAGGGGUAAUUGAAUCCGUAAUGUUCGAUUCCAUCUCAGUAAUAACUGGCGUAAUUGGAUUUAUGUCAGAGAAUCAUACAAUCUAAUUUAAACAAACUCUCAUAGCGUGUUUGUUGGUUAGAAUUGGAUUUUUCUAAUUAUUAAUACAAUCUAGAAAUUAAAUCCUACGGCCGUAACUAAAACUAUUUUCGGGUUAGAGAAAUAGUUAACGGUAGUACUUUAACUAUCGAGAAAUUAAGGAAAUGUUGGUUGUUUAUCGCGUGCAAGACAACUAUAACCAAUCUAUUAAUAAAUAUGAAAUUAUCUGUGAAUCGAUGAUCAGUGUAUGAACCAUUUUUGAAGUGUACCUUUGGUUAGAGUUUUCCUAAUUAUUUCUUUUAAUUAAUUAAUUUCUAUAUUUGAUUUAUUUAAUUCAUUAGCAUAUAAUCUCAAAGCCCCUAUUUAUCCUGACUCGAAAGGAAAUAAAUUUCUCCCCAUUCCCUGAGGAGACGAUCCUACUUGCCACUGUCUAUUAGUUAGUGAAUUUUAGUCAAAUAAUUAAUUCGAGUAUAUUAAAUUCAGCAAACUCUUCGGGAAUAGGGUAAAUCAAGUAACCCAUUGCAUACCUAGAAUCCCUACUCCAGUAUCUAAAAUUAAUUAUUGACUACUUUUGGUAGUAGUUAGGUUUUUAUUUACUAUUAUUGCACAGGUUCGACACCUGUAAUUUUUUGGCGCCGUUGUCGGGGAACUGGCGUUCGAAUUAUUUAUUUCUUUUUUAAUUCAGUUUUUUUUAGUAUUUUUGUUAGUUUAUGCCUCGUUCUUCUCGCACAAAUGAAUUGAUAUACGACCCUGAGAUUGAGAAGGCAGCGCAUAGGUAAAGACAAAAGACCAGGAGACGAAAAGAAGAGCAAUCAUCUAUUACUAACGAGUCAGUAGAGGACGAUUAUAGCAUGGCAAACAACCAAACACUAUGGGAGUUGACUGCCCCGGAAUUGACUCACCAGCCCUUGUGCAUUACAUUCCCAACUUUGGCUGAGAAUAUCGCCUUCGAGUUGAAGUCGGGGUUGAUUCACUUCUUACCCUCAUUCCAUGGUUUCUCUGGUGAAGAACUCCACAAACACGUCAAGGAGUUCGAAAUGGUUAGCUCUAACAUGAAACCUCCUGGGGACACUGAAGAGCAAAUUAAAUUAAGAGCUUUUCUUCUCUCUCAAGGAUGUAGUUAAAGAUUGGCUAUACUACCUACCCGUAGGUAGUAUUACCACAUGGGUACAGUUGAAAAGAAAUUUUUAGAAAAAAUUCUUCCCUGCAUCCCGAGCUAUGAGUCUGAGGAAGGAGAUAUGCAUCAUUAAAUAGUAUCCCGAGAAGUCCUUGUAUGACUAUUGGGAAAGGUUCAAUAAAUUGUGUACUAGAUGUCCGCAGCAUCAAAUUAGUGAACAACUAUUAAUCCAGUACUUCUAUAAAGGGCUCCAGUUAACUGACAGAAGUAUCAUUAACGCUGUGAGUAGAGGAGCACUGGCAAACAAGACAUCGAAGGAAGCGUGGGAGCUUAUUGAAGCCAUGACAGAAAACUUUCAGCAAUUUGGCUUCUGUGAGAGCAACCCUACCUGUAGGGUCAACGAGGUAGAGACGUCAUCUAUUCAGCAGCAAUUGUCAGAGCUGACAUCUGUUGUUAGGCAAUUAACCAUGGAGAAUACGCAGCGAGCGAAGGUUUGUGGAAUCUGUACAAGUAUGGACCACUGUACUGACACAUGUCCCCUUUUGCAAGAGGUUGGGGCGGAACAGGUAAAUAUGACCGGAGACGUGCCAGCGCCCCGUAGGCAGUAUGGCCCAUACUCCAACACGUAUAACCCCGGUUGGAGAGACCAUCCCAAUUUCAGCUAUGGGAACAGGCCACAAAAUUCAUUCUCUAAUCGUCCACCAGGGUUUCAGCAACCAUGGCAACCAAAGUCUCAACCUUCAUCCUCCAAUUCAGGAAGCUCUUUGGAGGAUAUUGUCAAGAGUCUGGUCACGACUACCACUCAACUCCAACAAGAAACUAGAUUCUUGGUUACGAUUACUGCUCAACUCCAGUAAGAGACUGGAUCCUUGGUCACGAACACUACUCAGUUCCAGCAGGAUACCAGAGCAGGCAUGAAAGACAUGGAGACUCGAAUGAGUCAAAUGGCAACUGUCAUUAAUCGCGUGGAAUCCCACGUUUAUGAAAAAUUGUCUUCGCAACCCGAGACAAAUCUCAAGAAUGUAAGUGCCAUGACAUUGAGAAGUGGUUAGGAAGUGAAGGGACCUAAAGUGAAAUAUCCGAAAAGCAAAAGUGAGGAGGAGAUAGAAAAAGAGAUUGAAAAGGAAGGACGCAUUCGCGAAGACCCUAAGGUAACAUUCACUCCUUCACCCCCUAUUAAAUCUAACUUAUCUCUUUUUCCUUACAGGUUGGAAAAGACAAAGAAGGUAGAGAAGGAAAAAGAACUUUUGGAUGUGUUCAGAAAAGUGGAGAUCAAUAUCCCCUUGUUAGAUGCAAUCAAGUAGAUAUCGAAGCACGCCAAAUUUUUAAAAAAUUUGUGCACCCACAAAAGAAAACUAAGGGGUGAAAAAAGAGUGACGGUGGGAGAAAAUGUGUUGGCUAUAUUUCAAAUGAAACUCUCUCCCAAGUGUGGAGACUCAGGUAUGUUCACCAUUACAUGUAAAAUAGGGGAUACCCCAAUUAGAAAAGCGAUGUUGGAUUUAGGAGCGUCAAUUAAUGUUAUACCCAAAACUAUUUAUGUCUCUGUAAAUCUUGAGCCAUUAAAAGGCACAAGUAUUAUAGUCCAACUGACGGACCGUACCAAUGUUUAUGCAGAGGGGUGAGUUAAAGAUGUUUUGAUCAAAUUUUUAUAUUCUAGAUAUAGGGGAUGAAAGGUCAUUAAAUCCGUCACUUAUGUUGCUAGGUAGGUCAUUUUUAAACACUGCUAGGACAAAAAUAGAUGUGAAUGAGGGUAUUUUACCAAUAGAGUUUGAUGGUGAAAUUGUAAAUUUUAAUAUUUUUGAUGCGAUGAAAUACCCGGAGGAGGCUAACUCUGUUUUUGCUUUAAGUGUUAUUGAGUUUCUUGUACAGGAAACAUUUGAAUUGGAUGGGAAAGAUGCAGUGGAAGUGGCUUUGAUCAAACAUCUUGAGUUGGGAGUAACUCUUGAUGCAGAAAUAAGUGAUGAGUUGUACGUUGCGGUUGAAACUCUGUAUUCACUCCCGCCAAUUUCUCCGAGGUAUGAGUUUACUUCCCUCUUUGCACUAGAAACUCAGACGAAAUUGUUGCCUUCUAUUGUGUAGGCACCUGAGUUGGAGCUUAAACCUCUCCCAAAACACUUGAAGUAUGCAUUUCUUGGGGACAAGGAAACACUAUCGGUCAUCAUUUCUGCACACCUGUCACCGAAGUAAGAAGAUAACCUGAUUCAUUUUCUUCGAGAUUAUAAUGAGGCAAUUGGAUGGAGCAUAACAGACAUUAAAGGAAUCAGUUCGUCCUUAUGCAUGCACUGGAUACGGCUUGAGAAAAAUGCAAAGCCGGUAAGACAGGUGCAACGAAAAUUAAACCCACUGAUGAUGGAGGUAGUAAAGAAGGAGAUACUCAAACUCCUGGAAGUAGGAAUCAUCUUCGCCAUCUCAGACAGCCCGUGUGUAAAUCCCGUUCAAGUAGUUCAGAAAAAGGCGAAAGUGACUGUUAAAGAGAAUCAGGAGGACGAGAUGGUCCCAGUAAGGAAACCCACAGGAUGGCGCCAGUGCAUCGACUACCAGUGACUGAAUGCCGUGACGAAAGAGGAUCACUUCCCUCUUCCGUUUGUUGAUCAGAUGAUAGAAAGAUUGGCUGGUCGUAAUUAUUAUUAUUUUCUUGAUAAUUUUUCAGGGUACUUCUAGAUCGCGAUAGCAUCGGAGGAUCAGAAGAAAACUACAUUCACCUACCCAUUUGGUACAUUUACCUACUAGAGGAUGUCUUUCGGCCUCUGCAAUGCUCCGAUGACUUUUCAAAGGUGCAUGGUAAGUAUCUUUUUCGAAUAUGUAGAAAAGAUUAUUGAGAUGUUUAUGGAUGAUUUUAGUGUAUAUGGGGAUAGUUUUGAGAAAUGCCUUAAUAAUUUAGUUUUAAUUUUGAAACGGUGCAUAGAGACAAAUUUAGUUCUUAAUUGAAAAAAAUGUCACUUCGUGGGGGAGUAUGAUAUUGUUUUAGGAUAUGUAGUUUCGGUUAGGGAAAUAGAAGUAGAUAAAGCAAAAGUCGACCUUAUUUCUGCUCUACCUUACUCCGUGAGUGUACGAAAAGUGCGUUCCUUUUUAGGUCAUGCAGGGUUCUAUGGGAGAUUCAUCAAAAACUUUUCAAAGAUUGGAGCCCCCUUAUUCAAAUUGUUGCAAAAGGACAUAACAUUUGACUUCACCAAUGAGUGCAAAGUAGCCUUUGAUAAAUUGAAUGGGUCAUUGACAUCACCGCCUGUCAUUCAACCCCCAGACUGGAGUCUCCCAUUCGAAAUAAUAUGUGACGCGAGUGACUAUGCAGUGGGAGUAGAAAAGAGAAGAUGAUUUUAUUAAGGUUCGGCAGGGAACUUUGAGUAUAGUUGAGUAUGAAACCCAAUUUACGAAUUUGUCUAAAUUUGCUCCUGAACUGCUAGCUACAGAGCAAAGAAGAGUUCGGAGGUUUGUGCAAGGGCUCAAUGUGGAGAUACAAGAGGCCUUAGCGGUGGCCCAAAUUAAUACAUUUACAGAGGUCUUGGAGAAGGCCCAACGAAUAGAAAUUGUUAGGGCACAAGUGAGAGUUUUUCAUGCAAAAAGGAUAGGUGUGCCUGGUGGAAGUCAAGGGCAAGAACAAGGUGAUUUAGACAUGUCUCCCUCUAAGAUGGGUCGAGGAGAUGGUGGUGAGAAAAUUUCAGGGACAUCUAAGGAAAUUACUCCAGGAGGAGCCUCGCGUGGCCGGGAGCAAGUAAGAGGUGCCUCACAAGAAGGUUAAACUCGAGUAUCUUGUGGGUACUGUGGGAAGGCCAAUUAUACGGAGAAUGAUUGUUGGCGAAAGGCAGGAAAAUAUUUAUGGUGUGGUAGUGCCGAGCACCAGCUUGUAACUUGUCCCCGUAGGUCACACCUAAAUCCUGAACAAGCAAAUGUAGGAGGGAAUAAGCCAAGAGUGCCAGCUAGAGUGUACGCCUUGGACCAACAGGCAUUGCCUGAACCAUCGGAGAUAGUAGAAGGUAGAAUGGAUAUACUAUUGUUGUUUAGUCUCAAAGAGAAUAUUACGGUUUCUUUAUUUUAUUGUUUUGUUUUACAGACUAGAAACCCUAAAUUCUAGAAAUAAAGUCUAAUCAAAACCCUAGUUUCAUUUGUGACUGACCAUUUUCUCAAAUUUCUCAUAUUUCAACCGAAACCCUAAUUUUAAUCACUGGAAUUGUAAAACCCCUCACGUUUUCUCGAAAAUGUACUUUUAAUUGAAAAUUAUGAUUUUAUAAUAACCCUACCACCCAAUCACCUCACAAUAAGUGCAAAUGAACAUGAAAGUAAAGGGUUUCACUUUUCAUUUUCAAGUUGGAGCGAGUUAGAUUUUUCACGUUUUUCCGUCGUGUAAUUAUCCGGUAUGGAGCGAGGAUCAAAUUUGGUGUUUAAGAGUGACUUUGGGUGAGAAAUAAUAUGUGAUUAGAAAAAAUGAUAAAAAGUUAGUGAAUAGGAAAUAAAAACCCUAGUACGUGUGAUUUAAGAAAAAACGGUGUGAACCGACGUGUACCGUGCACUACCGAUUGGACACACCGCUUGACCACCACUUUCUUACCAUAUAAGCUCAUUAAUAUUUGAGCAAAAUAUCUCCUUAUUUUCAGCUAAUUUUGACCGAAAUUUAGGGCUAAAAAUGCAAGGAAAGAAAAAGAAAUUUUUGUUGGAUUUGGUGGUGACAAGUGUCACACCCCUAUGGCUCCUUGACCAAGCCAAGUCCAACCUUCUUAUCAUUUUGUUGGCUUCAUUUUCACUGCAUUUUUCUGCUAGUUGGCCGAGACAAGAGAGGGGGAAAGAGAGAGCAAGAGUUUCACCAUUUCAUCUUGAUUUGCACCAUCCAAGUGAGGAACCAAAAUUCUAAACCGAUUAAAGUUUGAGUUGUGAAUUUGGGAAGCUAAGGGAACCAAAAAUUCCAAGAGGAGGUGAAGUAUUACUCUUGCAAACUUCUUUUGUUGAGGUAUAAGGUCUAACCCAUAACUUUGGUUCUUUUAUUUUUGAUUAAGAUGUUAUAUAAUUCAUGUUUUGGUUAGAUUAGUUGUGACACAAGUUGUUGUGAUGAUUUUUAAGGUAAUAUAUGUAAGUUAGGGUUUGAUGAUUUCUGCCUAUAUUUGCUAUAUGGAUGAUAUAUGUUGUAUCCAAUUUUAUAUAAGUAAUUGUGGUAGUGAUUGAAGCAAGAAAUGAAGAAAGUUUCCUUUGAAAAUGAAAAAUUUCAGAUUUCUGGAAAAUUUGACUUCAGUUCUGUCCGAUUCUAGUUCGUGAUGUUAGAGGCCGAUUUAAGCUUAGCAUAAAACAUGAAAGUUGUAGAGAAUGAUAUUUUAUAAAUGCCUACAAAUUUUCAACUCAAUCGGAGCAACGUAGCCUGUGAAAAGAUCAAAAUAUCCUCGCUGUCCUAGGAUGUUUCCAGUGAUCUGUUUUAGACAGUUCAUCUAGUUGACUGUGUCUAAUCACUAUGAUCCGUGCUGUUUUAGCCAUUGGCCAAAACAUCAAAGUUUUAGUAUUCUGUCUUACUUUUCAACGCCUCUAAGAACGCCUUAAACGGAUUUUAGUAGCCUGAGAUAUGACCAUUUAAAUGUAGUACGGUUAACUAGCCGGUUAGUUGGAAGUUGGUUCUGUGAAUUGGGAAUUUGACUGGGUUACACUGGAAAUUUGACUAAGUGAUCUUCAUGAAAGUUGUAGGCCUUCGACUUAGUUUCGAAACGGUAUAAGUUGCAGUCCAAUCCGAUAAGUGUAGUCUCGGAUGUGUCCAUUCCGUAAAAAUCCGUCAAAUCUAUCUUUUGUUAAAUUUCAUUUCCGCACUUGUUAUUAGUUUGAUUUUUGUCCUUGUAUUGUCUUGAGUCUAUGGAACGGCUAUUGAAAUGAAUUUGUGUUGUGUAUAAACUUGGGUUUGUUUGAGGGAAAUAAUGAAGCCAUAAAUGGCUGGAAAUAGGAAAAUACAAAGGGCAUGCUACCCAAAUUUACGCUCGAGGACUAGAGAAAUACACUUGCGACUUGGGUAAAAUUGAUAAAUGAAUAUCACUUGAACCAUCUAGAACUUUUACUACUUUGGUUAUCGAGGGUUAUACGUUAGAAUCUAGCCGAACUUGUACCCUUGAGAAAUAAAAUAAUGAUUGCUCGGAGCAUGUUUUCCUUGUACUUUUGAUUCAAAUGGUAUUUUCAAAUAUAAAUGUUACAAAGUUAUACAGUUUGAAAAGCGAGUGAGUGUUUAACGAAUAUUCUCCAAGUGAAUUUCCAUUUCUUGAUUCUUAUUGAACGAAACGUCUAAGUUUCGAAUCUUAGUCAAUUUUUAAAGUUCUGAAACAAAGUUUUAUCGCAGAUUUGAACUCCGAACCCGGAGUAUAACCCAGACGUGAUUACUAGGGGCACUUCAUUUUGGUGAGUGCUUCCAAAUACUUGAUUGAACUGGACACUUGUUUCCAAUACUUGAUCAAUAUGAUUAAAUGAUAUAUGAUUGGUUUGAUCGGGUAAGAGUAUACUUUAUCGCACUUGCCCUUAUUUGAUAUAUACUUGUUUAUUGUUGAAAUUGAAUUGAUAUACUUGUUCAUAUUGUGCGCACUUCCUGAAAUUUCAGAAAUCCCGUGGCAAAUUACUCGAGUCGAGCCGGUAGGGGUUUGGUUGAUUGGGUAACAAACCCUGGGUCUCUUGAUUGUCGAGUGGAGUGAUAUCUUCUCGACUAAUCGGUAUACUCGAGUAUUAUCACUCGUGUUGCUUGAGGAUUUUGGGCCCAAUAGAGGGUUUGAAUGGUGGACGGAGAGUAGCGUAAGUGGUGCUCUAUUGGAUUGGUUCCUUUACUUGAAAGUUGACGGAGUGUCAACUAUUACGUGAUCAAGCUCCUGAUGAUGAAUGGAAGUUGGCUCUUGAAAGCCUUCCGUAUCCUUAUGCUUUGGAUUGAUUCUUGCUUAUUGGAUUAUUGUUUAUUCUGAAAAACUUUUACAGUCGCUCAUUUUGAGAUUGCUAUUUGAUGUGUUAUUGCUCACUUUUAUGAACUCUUCAUACUCGUUACUUUGUUAUAUCAAAAACUUGUACUUAUAAAUAAUGGUCAAUUUACUAUUCGAAAUCUCACUGGAUUUUUAGCUUAUACCACGCCAUUUAUUUUCCUUACAGGGGUACGAGCGAGGCGUGAGACGUGUACAGACUAGCGUAGUCUAGUUAUUUUGAAUUUUGUAAUUGUACUCGCACUAGUCACUCGAUUAGGAUUGAAUGUACUGAGAAUUUAACUCUUUUGAUGUAUUUGGGACUGUAUGGAUGAUUGGGAUAGAAAUGAAUGUAUUCAUAUGUUCCAAACUUGGGGACCGUUAUUUCAUUUAUUAUUGAAAUUGAACCUUAUUUUAAUUGAUGCGAGUGAGUGAGUCAUGACGAGAGUUGGGCAGGCGGUCCACCGAACCCUUUGGUUCGCCCUAGGAGGAGGUGUGGCCGUCACAGGUGGUAUCAGAGCUCCUAUUGAGCCCGUGCCGGGAGAGGGUUAUCGGACUGUGGGGAUUGACUUGUUAAGUGUGGAAUGAUUGUCUAUUAUUAGGGACCUUAGAUAUGUAUGUUGGGUAGGAAUCUCUAAUACGGGUGAUUUGCUCUUGAGCCUGGCCAGCUUGUGUGGUGAAUUAUCAUAUUUUCGGAUUCUUGUCCCCGAGUACCAAAGAGUGAUAUCUUUACGAUAAGUUGAGAUCUCGCGUAAUAUUAGGAUAAGUUUGAAUGGCGAAAGCAAAGCCACGGGGAAUGCGAAUAGUCUGGACUUGAAAUAUAUUGAAGAUAUUCAUGAGAUUUGGGAUCCUUAUUAUUCCCGUGUUUCGAGUUUUGAUUAAGUGUAGUGCCUGAGCAAUACCUAGGGUUAAUGUUCUAUAGGUUAUGUGACUUGUUUGCUAUGUAUAUAAAGAACCUGUUUAUUAUGCAUUUUAUUGCCUCUGUUUAUCCUUUUGAAAUGUGCUAUAUGAGCCAUACCUUACCUUGUUUACAUGUUUAUAGUUGGUUAAACCCAGGCUGUAGGGGGAGAUCAAGUGGCAACCGCAAUCCAACAAAUGAUUAACAUUUUGGCCCGUCUAGUGGAACAACAGGGUCAAACCCCUGUAAAUCAACCUAGGGACCCCGAUAUGGGGCAAGAUCGGGCUCUUGAGAGAUUCCAGAAGUUCUCUCCACCUAAGUUCUUGGGAGGACCAGACCCGGAGGGAGCCGAGAGAUGGCUAGAGGCCAUGAUCAAUAUCUUUGCCGCUUUGAACUAUACGGAGGAUAGACAAGUGCACUUUGCCGUUUUUCAAUUUGAAGGUCCGGUCAGGGCUUGGUGGAAUGUGGUUCAAGCUAAGUGGGAGAGAGAGGGGACCGCAUGGACGUAGGUGAAUUUCGUGCGAGAGUUUAACGAAAAAUACCUCCCACCUAUUGUUCAAGAGAAAAGAGAAGAUGAUUUUAUUAAGUUUCGACAGGGAACUUUGAGUAUAGCUGAGUAUGAAACCCAAUUUACGAAAUUGUCCAAAUUUGCUCCUGAACUGAUAGUUACGGAGCAAAGAAGAGUUCGGAGGUUUGUGCAAGGGCUCAAUGUGGAGAUACAAGAGGCCUUAGCAGCGGCCCAAAUUAAUACAUUUACAGAGGUCUUGGAGAAGGCCCAACGAAUAGAAAUUGCUAGGGCACAAGUGAGAGCUUUUCAUGCAAAAAGGAGAGGUGCGCCUGGUGGAAGUCAAGGGCAAGGACAAGGUGAUUUAGACAUGCCACCCUCUAAGAUGGAUCGAGAAGAUGAUGGUGAGAAAAUUUCAGGGACAUCUAAGAAAAUUACUCCAGGAGGAGCCUUGCGUGGCCGGGAGCAAGUAAGAGGUGCCUCACAAGGAGGUUAAACUCGAGUAUCUUGUGGGUACUGUGGGAAGGCCAAUCAUACGGAGAAUGAUUGUUGGCGAAAGGCAGGAAAAUAUUUAUGGUGUGAUAGUGCCGAGCACCAGCUUGCAACUUGUCCCCGUAGGUCACACCUAAACCCUUAACAAGCAAAUGUAGGAGGGACUAAGCCAAGAGUGCCAGUUAGAGUGUACGCCUUGGACUAACAGGCAUUACCUGAACCAUCGGAGAUAGUAGAAGGUACGAUUCGUGAUUUCUAUUGUUUAACUAAGUUUUGGCUAUAGUGAGACCUGAGAGCUAGAAAUGGAUAUACAAGAAAAUACCCUACGUUAUUUAGGAGCGCAUGGAUGAAUUCCGAGGACGAAAUUCUUUUAAGUAGGGGAGAUUGUGAUACCCCAACUUUUAGGAUACUAUUGUUGUUUAGCCUCAAAGAGAAUAUUACGGUUUCUUUAUUUUAUUGUUUUGUUUUACAGACUAGAAACCCUAAAUUCUAGAAAUAAAGUCUAAUCAAAACCCUAGUUUCAUUUGUAACUGACCAUUUUCUCAAAUUUCUCAUAUUUCAACCGAAACCCUAAUUUUAAUCACUGGAAUUGUAAAACCCCUCACGUUUUCUCGAAAAUGUACUUUUAAUUGAAAAUUAUGAUUUUAUAAUAACCCUACCACCCAAUCACCUCACAAUAAGUGCAAAUGAACAUGAAAGUAAAGGGUUUCACUUUUCGUUUUCAAGUUGGAGCGAGUUAGGUUUUUCACUUUUUUCCGUCGUGUAAUUAUCCGGUACGGAGCGAGGAUCAAAUUUGGUGUUUAAGAGUGACUUUGGGUGAGAAAUAAUAUGUGAUUAGAAGAAAUGAUAAAAAGUUAGUGAAUAGGAAGUAAAAACCCUAGUACGUGUGAUUUAAGGAAAAACGGUGCGAACCGACGUGUACCGUGCACUACCGAUUGAACACACCGCUUGACCACCACUUUCUUACCAUAUAAGUUCAUUAAUAUUUGAGCAAAAUAUCUCCUUAUUUCCAGCUGGUUUUGACCGAAAUUUAGGACUAAAAAUGCAAGGAAAGAAAAAGAAAUUUUUGUUGGAUUUGGUGGUGACAAGUGUCACACCCCUAUGGCUCCUUGACCAAGCCAAGUCCAACCUUCUUAUCAUUUUGUUGGCUUCAUUUUCACUGCAUUUUUCUGCUAGUUGGCCGAGACAAGAGAGGGGGAAAGAGAGAGCAAGAGUUUCACCAUUUCAUCUUGAUUUGCACCAUCCAAGUGAGGAACUAAAAUUCUAAACCGAUUAAAGUUUGAGUUGUGAACUUGGGAAGCUAAGGGAACCAAAAAUUUCAAGAGGAGGUGAAGUAUUACUCUUGCAAGCUUCUUUUGUUGAGGUAUAAGGUCUAACCCAUAACUUUGGUUCUUUUAUUUUUGAUUAAGAUGUUAUAUAAUUCAUGUUUUGGUUAGAUUGGUUGUGAUACAAGUUGUUGUGAUGAUUUUUAAGGUGAUAUAUGUAAGUUAGGGUUUGAUGAUUUCUGCCUAUACUUACUAUAUGGAUGAUAUAUGUUGUAUCCAAGUUUAUAUAAGUGAUUGUGGUAGUGAUUAAAGCAAGAAAUGAAGAAAGUUUCCUUUGAAAAUGAAAAAUUUCAUAUUUCUGGAAAAUUUGACUUCAGUUCUGUCCGGUUCUAGUUCGUGAUGUUAGAGGCCGAUUUAGGCUUAGCAUAAAACAUGAAAGUUGUAGAGAAUGAUAUUUUAUAAAUGUCUACAAAAUUUCAGCUCAAUCUAAGUAACGUAGCCUAUGAAAAGACUAAAAUACCCUCGCUGCCCUAGGAUGUUUCCAGUGAUCUGUUUUAGACAGUUCAUCUAGUUGACUGUGUCUAAUCACUAUGAUCCGUGCUGUUUUAGCCAUUGGCCAAAAUAUCAAAGUUUUUGUACUCUGUCUUAAUUUUCAACACCUCUAAGAACGCCUUAAACGUACUUGGUAGCCUGAAAUAUGACAAUUUAAAUGUAGUACGGUUAACUAGCCGGUUAGUUGGAAGUUGGUUCUGUAAAUUGGGAAUUUGACUGGAUUACACUGAAAAUUUGACUAAGUGAUCUUCAUGAAAGUUGUAGGCCUUCGUCUUAGCUUCGAAACGGUGGAAGUUGUAACCCAAUCCGAUAAGUGUAGUCUCGGAUGUGUCCAUUCCGCAAAAACCCAUCAAAUCUAUCUUUUGUUAAAUUUCAUUUCCGCACUUGUUAUUAGUUUGAUUUUUGUCCUUGUAUUGUCUUGAGUCUAUGGAACGGCUAUUGAAAUGAAUUUGUGUUGUGUAUAAACUUGGUUUUGUUUGAGGGAAAUAAUGAAGCCAUAAAUGACUGGAAAUAGAAAAAUACAAAGGGCAUGCUGCCCAAAUUUACGCUCGAGAACUAGAGAAAUACACUUGCGACUUAGGUAAAAUUGAUAAAUGAAUAUCACUUGAACCAUCUAGAACUUUUACUACUUUGGUUAUCGAGGGUUAUACGUUAGAAUCUAGCCGAACUUGUACCCUUGAGAAAUAAACUAAUGAUUGCUCGAAACAUGUUUUCCUUGUACUUUCGACUCAAAUGGCAUUUCCAAGUAUAAAACAUUUUGAAUUUUGAAAACAGCUUUAUAGUUGAAGCUAUGAACAAAACUGGCAGUAUGGCCCUUUUCUGGAACAAUGAUGUGAAGAUCUCUGAAGUACUAGAAACUGCUUUCACUAUUGAGGCAAAAGUGGAAGAUGAGGAGAAGAAGGAAAGCUGGUGGUUCAUUGGAAUUUAUGCCAGUUGUGAUAGUCAUAUAAGAAGGGGGCAGUGGGAAGUAAUAAACAGAAGGAAAGCAGGUUGGGGGGCAAAAUGGAUUAUCAUGGGAGACUUCAAUGAUAUUACCUCAAAUGAAGAAAAAUGGGUGGUAGGAUGAGGGAUAAUAGAAGCUUUCAUGAUUUUAGGAAAUUAAUUAAUGAUAACCAGCUGUUAGAUGUGGGUUAUGAAGGGAAGCCAUGGACAUGGAGCAACAACUGGUAUGGGAGUGGGGAAGUUAAAGAAAGAAUAGAUAGGGGUUUAUGCACUGUAGAAUGGUCACAAUGUUAUGAUGAAGCCUACUGCACACACAUCGAAUCCCAUGCUUUAGAUCAUACCAUGUUGAUACUGGAAACUCAAAAGGAAAGGAAGAAAAGGAAAAAAAGAUUCUAGUUUGAUAAAAGGUGGCUCCAACAAGAUGAGAUAGAGGAAGUGGUCCAGAAGGCAUGGAAUAUUCCCUGUGAUGGAACAAAAUGGUUUAAGGUGAAGGAAAAGAUCAAAAAUUGCAAAAUUGAGUUAUUAAAGUGGAGCAGCUGUAAGAAAGGAAAUUCUCUUGAAAAGAUUAAAUGGUGCAAAAACCAGAUUGAGGACAUCAAGGCAUCAUCAGCUGAGAAUAAAAAACAGCAAGUACAGGAAAUGAAAAGAUAAUUGAAAGUGGCAUAUAAUGAGGAAGAAGCUUACUGGAACCAGAAAUCUAGACUGAGGUGGCUGAAGGAGGGGGAUAAAAAUACUCAGUUUUUCCAUGCAACAGUUAAGGGAAGGAGAAAAAGAAAUAGAAUGCAGAAACUGAGAAAGGCGUGUGGUGAAUGGACAGCAAAUAAAGAUGAGUUGGGUAAAGAAGUAGCUAAUUACUAUGAUGAGUUGUUUAAAUCCACAGCAGCUGGGGAGCUUGAGGAGAUCUUAGAUGGGAUUCCUGCUACUAUAACUGAACAAAUGAACAAGGAAUUGACUAAAAAAGUGGAUGAAAAUGAAAUAAAGAAUGCAUUCUUCUCUAUGGAUCCUCAUAAGGCUCCUGGGAGUGAUGGUAUGCCUCCCCUCUUUUUUCAAAAAUUCUGGAGUCUUAUUAAGAAGGACCUGGUAAAUGCAAUCCAAGGUUUCUUCCAUCAUGGUGUCAUUCUUAAAGUCAUAAAUCAUACUGUUAUCUCUUUGAUCCCAAAAGUUGAAUGUCCCACAGGGAUUAGUCAGUAUAGGCCUAUUAGUCUUUGCCAAGUGGUCUAUAAAGCUCUAGCAAAAAUCCUUGUUAACAGGCUAAAGCCUUUUCUUAGUAGGUGUAUCGGCAAAAGUCAAUAUGCAUUCGUUCCAGGUAGGCAAAUCUUAGAUAAUGUCAUACUGUCUCAUGAGUUGAUGCAUUUUCUCAAAAAUAAAAGGCAUGGUAGAGUGGGAUCUAUGGCUGUGAAACUGGAUAUGUCAAAGGCCUACGACAGGGUGGGAUGGAGAUUCUUAAAGGCAAUAAUGGAGAAAAUGGGAUUCUGCUCCACUUGGAUAAGCUGGAUCAUUUCAUGCAUCAGUUCAGUUACUUAUUCAUUCAACAUUAAUGGAGAACACAAGGAGUUUGUUACCCCUUCAAGAGGUAUCAGGCAAGGAGAUCCACUAUCUCCCUACUUGUUUUUGUUAUGUUCAGAAGGGCCAUCAAAUUUACUUCAGAAAGCUAAGUUGGGAAAGGAGUUAAUUGGAGUUAAAAUCAGCAGAAAGGCGCCUGCCAUUACCCAUUUGUUCUUUGCUGAUGACUCCUUGGUGUUCUGUAAUGCUAACAAACAAGAAGCUGAGAAGCUGACCAAGAUACUCAAAGUGUAUGAAGAGGCAACAGGGCAGCUUAUCAACAUGGAAAAGUCAUCAGUAUUCUUUAGUAAAAAUACAAUGCCAGCUGUGAGGAGUGAAGUCUGUCAGGAGUUGGGGCCAAUUAAACAUGUAAAGCAAGGCAAAUACCUUGGACUUCCCAUGAUUAUAACAAAAUCCAAAAGCCAGGUAUUUGGAUUUAUAAGGAACUCUAUAGAUAAGAAAUUGCAAGGAUGGAAAAAUAAAUUACUAAGCCAGGCAGGGAAAGAGAUCAUGCUCAAAGUUGUUGCUAUGGCCAUGCCUACCUACACAAUGUCAUGCUUCAGAUUACACUCAAAGUUGUGCAGAGAAAUGAGCUCGAAAAUGGCAGACUACUAGUGGGGUGACACUGAUGGGAAGAAAAAGAUACACUGGAUAAGUUGGAAGAAGAUGACAGAGAAGAGAAGCAAGGGGGGAUGGGUUUUAAGGAUUUGCAGUUGUUUAACAAAGCUCUACUGGCUAAACAAGUUUGGAAGCUGAUCACGCAACCAAACUUGUUAGUCAGUAAAGUUUUAAAAGAGAAGUACUACCCCAAGCAAUCAAUUUUCAAUUGCAAGGUGCCUCAGAAUGCAUCUUGGAUCUGGCAGAGUUUAUCAGGGGUUAGAAAGGAAAUGCAAGAAGGAAUUAGGAGGAAAAUUGACAAUAGGAAAGGAACUAGAAUUUGGGAUGAUAAUUGGAUCCCAGAUAGACCAUAGAGGAAACCAACAUUUAUUAAACCUCAGGGAUGUCAACUGGAACUUGUAUUUGAACUGAUCAAGAACGAUAGAUGGAAUAGAGUGCUUGUCUUCAAAACAUUUAAUGCCUAAGAUGCUGAGAGAAUCCUGAGCAUACCAAUAAGUAUGACAGGAAUAGAGGACAGCUUCUAUUGGAUGGAUUCUCAAAAUGGAAAAUACACGGUCCAAUUUGGAUACAAGGCUUGGAUGAAGAAAAAAGAAAUGGAGAGGUUAAGAAGGAGGGAGGAAGCCGGAACAAGCUAUGAAGAAACCACUCCUAAGACUUGGAACUCACUGUGGCAGGAAAAUGUAAGUUAGAAACUGAAGGUGUUCGUUUGGAAAUGCCUGCAUGGUGGACUCCCAAUCAGAGAGGCAAUCUAUACUAGAACAAGACAAGGGAACCCCAUAUGUGCUGGAUGUGGAGAAAAGGAAGAAACAAUUGAACACAUGCUACUCCAAUGCAACAAGGGAAGGAAAUCUGGAAAAUGGCACCAGUGCAGUGGGAUGGAAUAGAAUAUCUGUCAGACUGCUUUAACAAAUAGUGGUCAGCAAUUCAGGAAACUCAAGAUAGAAGAGGAGUGGAGGACCAGGUCAAUCUCACCAUCAAUAUACUCUGGCAGAUAUGGAAAGCUAGGAAUGACAGAGAGUUUAACCAUAAGGAGAAGGAGCCUUUUAAGAUAAUAGAGAAGGCUCUAAGGGAAUGGACAGAAUUUGAUUAAGUUAACAAAGGAAAGGAUUCAAGAAAGAGCACUCAAGAAACAGAACUACAGCAAAGGACUGAUCACGAUCAAAAUGAGAGUCACUCUGGACUGACUUUAAAGAUCCACACUCAUCAGGAUAAAGGACAAGCAGCAAUGGGAAUUGGAAUCUCAGCUACAGACAACUUGGGAAGAAUGCAAGUAGCCUGGGCACUUAGAGAAUGUUCAUCAGGCGACAUAUUACAAGACCAAACUAUUGCAGUUACAUUAGCUCUACUGAAAGUUGGAAGCCAAGGCUGGAGGAACAUCAAAGUGGAACUGGACAACCGUAAGCUGGUAGAAGCCAUACAGGAAUCAAGGUACAACAAUCAGCUGAUGGCUACCUUAAUAGAGGACAUUAGAUCCAUUUGUACUUUGUUUCAUCAGUGCUCUAUCUUUUUUGCCAAUUCUAGGAAAUUAGAAUGUAUUAAGUUGAGCAUUCAUGCUCUAAACAUCUGGUUAGAUAAAGAAUGGGUGAAUCCCAAUCUUAGAUGCUAGGCAUCAGUGAAUCUUGAAGGACAGUUUCUCCCUUUUGAUUGGACCUUUGUCCAAAUAUUGUAAAGAUUACGGUAAUAUAUAUAUAUAUAAAGCUAACGUUUCGACCAAAAAAAAUACUUGAUUUUGCAUCCUCGAUCAUUCCCUUAUCAUCCACAAUAAAUAAAAUUGUAAAUAUCUACAUAGGAUCCAUAUAAAAGUAUAAUAUAGACAUCUAUUCAUUUAAGCAUCUUGAUGUGAAAAGGAUCACAAUUAAGCUCUUAAAAAAUAAUAAAAUAAAAAAUUGGAAAAAAAGAGUUUCACGCGAUUCUAGCGCACUUCCCACAUGCAUUGCACAUGCAUCGUUGCUACCUAUACUCUAAUGUCCCUCUCGACUGUGAAUUAUUUUUUAUUAGUAGACAAUAUCUUUUGUGUUUUUUUUUCUUUUCCUUUCCAAAAUUCCAUUUAAGUUAAGAGUUUGAUCCUCUUACCUAUGUGCUUAGGUAGGGAAAGAUAUAAGGGGUGCAAGUUGCAACUUCAAUUAGGUCAUUCUUUCAAGAAGAAGGCUCCAUUGUUAUCCUUUCCCUUUUUUUUUAAUGGCCUGCCAUCUCUUUCCAUACCCUUUCUAUCCUUAACUGUUAGGUACUAUGUAUUUGAAUUAUGAAUUUGACAAUAGGGAAAAUUCUAACAGUUUUCCUUUGACCACUGGAUCUAAGUUCUUCAUACACAUAGAUCAUCUUGUGUGCUUUACGUGAAGCAAUAUCAAGUCUAAUAGAGUUACCGUUCCUCUAAGCUUGUUCUACUAAAUUUCUCCACGCUUGAAUUGUCUGCUUUCGAGCAGACUAAGCCAGCCAUAGAUGGUUAACCUUGACAGGUCAGUGGGGUGUCACUAACAUUUUUUAUCUUCUUUUAGAUCUAAUUGAUUAUGAUGAUUUGGUGAUACUAUUAAACCUAAGUUAAUUACCUAUCAUUAAGCUACUACAAUUCCUCAAAAUCUAUUUACUAUAAGAUCUAGGUGCAUUCUUUAAUUACUUGGUAUAGAUGUUGUUGCAACAAAAAUACAUACUCGGGCAAAAGUUUUUUUUUCAUAAAUUAAUACAUAGCAUGAGGAAUCACAUGACACUCAAUUAUAAUUGCUUUUUAGAUUACUUAUGCCCAAAAAAGAUGAAUAUUUUUGGGGCUCAAAGUGUUAAUUCUUGUGUUAUAAACAACAAAACAAAUGUGGUUUAGACUGUAGUAUAUCAUUAGUUCCACUGAAUUUAAGGAUCAAACAAAUAAUGGAAUCAUACCCUAGGCACAUGCCUCAACAACUCAAGUUUAUAUAGUGCCAGUUUAUACCAAGUAAGUACUACACUUUAUCAUAUCACUCUUGAUAGAGUGAGAUUAUUUUGUAUUAUAUUUGUAGUGUAGUUUUCCUCUGCUAUUAGUGUGGAUAUCUCUCUUUGUGGAGUUGAGUUUACUACUAAAUUAAAGGCAUGAAACAAGUAGAAGGCGAAUUAAUAUUCGAACUGGUGCAACUUGUUGAAUUGGAAACUUUUGCACAAUUUGCCUCUAAUCUCAAUAAAGCUACUCAGAAUCAAUUAGCAAGAGGUCAAGAUAGUAUAAUUAUUAUUAUUCUUUAGUCAACAUUAAUGUUCACCUUUUAAAAAGAUAAGGGAUAAUUUCAGAAACCUCCCUUGAGGUUUUUGACAAUUUCACUCACCUCCCUUCAGGUUUGAAUAAUUACACUAACCUCCUUUCAUGUAGUAAAAUGACUAUAAUAUCCUUCACUUAUAAAUAAUUCCUACAAACAAAAAAACUCUACAAUCACAACUAGUCUUUUAUUCUAAAACAACUGUUGCCACACAAACUAAACUCUUGUUCUAUCUUUCCGACUCUUUCUCCUACCUUCUUUCUCUUACAUCUCUUUUUUCACAAAUAGACACACUCUCGCUUUUUUGUUUUCUUUUUUUUUAUAAGUAUUAUUGAAUUGAAAUUACAAAAUAACAAGUUAUCGGAUCAUAUUUGUUGUCAAGGUGAAAAAGAUGGCGGUGAUACAGAGUACAUAUAAGAAAAUAAAAAUGAUAGCUAAAUAGGAAAUGUGGAUUAAAGAAGGUUACGAUAUUAUAUCAAUUGUGUAAAAAAAGAAUUUUGAGAUAUAAAACUAUAAUCAGAUUUGCCUAGAGACAUGGGAUGUGGUCUCUAGUGUUACUUUUGGUUACUCUGUGUUGGUAUUCUUGGUAAGAUACAUUAUUUUAGUAACAACAAGUUUAAAUAGUGACAUUGGUCAAUUCAAACAUUGAAUUAGGCAAAAAAAAAUGAGACUAAAUAUUAGGUUGAAUGCAUACUUUAAUUGUCACAGUUGAUCUGCAUGAGAAGCUUUGGGGCAACAAUAGUAGGCUGUCAAAAUUGUAAGAAUAUGGGAAUUAAGGUGAAAUGGUUUAUUGAGUUUGUUAGGGUGAUGGUUAUGUCGUUUACAAUAGUUGUAAUGUAAAAGAAAUUUAUUAGUUUGUUUUUCCCCCUUCUAAGUAACAAAGGGGUGUUUUAGAAUUUUUGAAGAGAAAGUUAGCAUAUUGGGUCUAUAUUGUUACUGAAAUGUUUAUCAUAGGGGAGGUAGGUGUAAUUUUUUAAAUUAGAAGGGAGCUUCCUACAAUAGUCAGAAAUCUCAGGGGAGGUUUCUGAAAUUAUCCCAAAAGAUAAAGAUGGUAGUCAUUCAUUUGUAAACUCUCUUAACACUUUUGCUUCAAUUAUUAAUUACAAUUUUUGAAGCGAAACUGAAAAAUGUAUGUUUUUUUGGUCAUAUGUAAUUGUUCGCACGAAUUUCUUGGUAGGGUUAUUUUAUUUAAACCGAGGUGCCAAGAUUUUGGGGUUUUUGAGGGUUUAAACCGAGGCUUGAUGGCCUCCAGUGGCUAAGGCAUCAGCCCUGCUGGAGCGGAAAAAGAAGGAAAAAGAAGAAGAAGAAGAAGAGAAGGAAAAAAAAAGAAAGGAAGGAAAAGAAAAAAUGAACGGGCUAAUGUUUUAUUUUUUGGUGGGCCAAUUUCUUUAUUUUCGGUUGGGCUAGAGGUUUCCUUUUCUAGGUUUUAUCCGGGCUUUUGGGUAAUUUUUUAAUUUGGGCUUGUAUCUCUUUUAAUGAAGAUAGCCUGCAUUUUUUUUUGGGCUGAAGGCGUCCAGGCUAAGAAAUUAAAAAUAAAUGGCCCAGAAACUUUCUUCUUGCCCAAAUCAGAAACCGAAAUUUUCAUUUUAGCCCCUGAUCUUUGGAAUAGUUUUAUUGUGGCCCAAAAAAUUUUAAAUUUCUUUCAUUUAGGCCCUUAAUUUAAUUAUAAUUUGGUCUCUAAACUUUAUCUUUAUUUAAUGUUGACCCCUAAAAUUUUGGAAAAUUAUAUUUUUUGACCACAAAAUUUUCUAAUUUUUUCAAUUUAAGUCCCUUGUGAAUUUUUGACUCUCUUUAUUACAAUUAUUUCUCUUCUUUAAUAGCUAAUUAUGUUACUUUUGAAUGUAUUCAACUUGUAAUUUUUAGAGGUCCUUAAGUUUCUUUAUAUUUGAUAUAUUAAUAUGAAUUUAGUACUUUUAUUAUUAUUAUUAUUAUUUUCAAUUAAAUUGGUGCCAUGAUUUUUUUGUUCAUUUUGAGUAUAAAUAGGACAAUUUGGCUCCAUUUAGUCACUACUUCAAAAGAAAGGUACCCCUAUUAUUAUUUCAAUGUCAAUUAUGUGCUUUUAUAUGCUCCUACGUGUUUAUACGUUUUUACAUGCUUUGUUAUUUAUUUAAUUCAAAUGUUUAUUUAAAUUUUCUUAUGUUUGUUUAGUUAAUUUUAUAAUUAUUUGGGAGGUGUUUAAAUACCUCAAGAUGUAAUAGAUAGGUAAUAUUUUGUAAAAAAAAAUUGUAAUUAGAUAAACUAUUGUAAUAUAUAGAAUAGAUAUGUUUAUUUUCUUAUAUUUUCCCAUUUUAGAUUGUAGUCAGACUCCCCGCUGUAAUAGAUAGGUUUUGCAUGUUUACGUGUUUAUGUGGUUUAUGUGUUAUGUGUUUUAUCCGCUUUCCUUAGGAUUUUUACAUUUAGAUAUUAUGUUUUAUGUGUUACGUGUUAUGUGCUCUUAUAUGUUUAUUUGUUUUAAUUUAUGCCUUAUUCGUUUUAUUAUGUAUUAUUAAUGCAUGACGUCACCACACUAGUCUAACGCUAGUUGUGGCUUCUCUCUCCGCCUACUUGCUAGUCCAAUUCUAGUAAGCUCUUUUAGAAAUGGGUUAUCCAAUGUUAGACCCUUAGAUCAUUCACGCAUUAGAUUUAUUUUUUGUGUGACAUUCAUUACAUUUUCAUGUAUUUUUUGUUUUAGAAUAUUUUCUCAUUUGCAUGGUAUUGUCUAUUAUAUUAUCCCCUACCCUAUAUAUGUAUUCAUCAUAUCAUUUAGGAUUACAUCUCAUUUAAGAAAUUGUAAAAUAAGUUAGUUCAUUUGCUUAUUUAGAUUAAAAAAAUUUAUCUUUUGAAUAUGAAAAAUGGGCGAUUAUAACUUUUUAAUUUAAAUACCCCGUUAAUCCCUACACAAGAAAAUUAUGGCAUGAGUUUUUGCUUCCCAUACCCAUUAUAUUGCACUCCUUAUUCCUUGAUCACUUAUAUUUAUAUAUAUAAUUUAAUUUUCUUUUCUUUUGAAUUUCACUUUUCAAUACUCGUGAUCUUUUCAAGGGAUUAUUUUUGGUCUUCGCAAUUAAUGUGAUCGAUAUCAAUUAAACCAUUGAAUGGACAUUUUGUCCCUUUCGAUACUUUUUAUAAAUGUAGACUUGCAUCCAUGUAGAAAACAUCCAAACGUGACAAAUUUAAGGGUUAGAUUAGAGAAAUUCUAGCUAAAUCACAUAACUAGCUUAUAUUAGGUGGAAAGGGUACCUUAGAUUUGAGCUGAUCAUACCUUUGUCUUCCGUUUCUUCAAUCGUGACUCCCGAGUUCAUUUUUCUCUUGUUUUCGAAGAUCUGGAGUUGUUGAAAAGGGUUUUAUUUAUUUAUUUAUUUUUAUCAAAAAAUAUUUUUUUUGGUGAUUUGGUACACUCAAACUCAAUAUCAAAUGGCGACUCCUAUUUUUCUUAAAAACCCUUUUAGACUAAAUUUUAGGUCCAAACUGUCACAUUUUUUAAAGUCCUAUUUUAGGCCUUUUUCACUUAUUUUAAAAUAAAAAUCACAUCUUUUGUAAACAUGCUUUUCAUCGCGAAAAAUGGGGCGCGACAGUCAAUUCUAAAAAAUCUAAAAUUGUGUUUAAUUUGGCUUCUUUAUUCACUGUUUUGAGUUCACAUGAGCUUUAUCAAAUUGAGCUCGAUUGAAUUUUUCACAUACAAAUUUGUCACUUAAAUUAUUGAGAAAAUAUUUAAUCAAAUCAUUAGAAAUAUUAUAUGUGGUUAUUUAGGCCACACAAAAUAUAUAUUCUAACAUGAUGUCGUCAAUCAAGCUUAUAGUUGGACAAUAAGAUACGUGAGAAUUUAUUCUUUGUUAAUCAUCCAAUCCGUACUUCCAUUGCUCCACUCCACUGGACAAAGCCCCCUGUGGGCUUCCUAAAGGCAAACUUCGAUGGCGUAGUUUUCUCCGAAUAUGGCUACUCUGGUGUUGGAGUUGUUGUGAGGGACGAGCGGGGCAAUUUUGUUGCAGGAACUUCUCACAAAAUCUCUGGUAUCUUUUCCCCUGAGGUCAUCGAAGCCUAUGCUGCGAGAACUGCAAUUUCCUUACUGCUUCAAUGGAAAGUGCCCAACAUUAUUUUGGAGGGAGACUCUUUGAAGAUCGUCAACAUGCUUAAGCUUAUGGAGUCUGAUGACUCGGCCUAUGGGGUGCUGUUAGAUGAUAUCUUUGUUAGGUUAUAGAACUUCGCCGCUUGGGAGGCUAAUUGGGUCCCUAGGAAGGCCAAUGUGCCAGCACAUUUAUUAGCUAGAAAUGCUAGCUCUAUUUCAGAUAUCUGUAGUUGGAGUUAUUCUCCACCACCUUUUCUUCUCUCCGCAAUUUCGGCGGACCUAUCCUCACCUUAAUAAAAUUUUCUAGUUUGCUAUCAAAAAAAAAAGUUUCUUUUUAUUCAUCCAUUACAAUGGAUAGCUUCUAGAUAUGCUGGAUUAUGCAAGCUAAUGUUCCACAGUCAGGAGCAGCUGUUUCAAAGCCAUUUCUUGGGUUGCCCUUCGGAAACUAACAACACCAGCACAAUCCAUAAGGUCCGCUAAAUUUGUUUCAUGUUCUCAUUUUUCGCUUCAGGAGGACAAAAAUAACAACCACAUCCUGAUUCUCAGGGUUAAAGAGAGAGGAAGACUCUGCAAGUUUCUGCGUAAACAGUUCAAACAAUUCAUCCAUGAUAUCACUUCCAAAUUGUUUCUCUAGAAGUCCCUCUAAUGCAACUCUGAGGUGCAAAGCAAUUGCACAAGGGUUGGAGAGAAACUCAUGCUUUCCUGGAAUGCUUAAUAUCUCCAUUCUCUGAACAUUUAGAUGUUCAUUUGCCUUCAUCAGGGUCUUUAUCUCAUUAAGAAAUGGGAAAUAUAGUGGCAAGUUGAACAUAUCCACUUUCAAUUCAUCAACCAGUCCCUGCAAUAAGUGCAUUUUAGUAAUUAAAGUACUUUUUUUUAGCCAAAACCUGCAGUCGAAAUUCGAAGAUAAACUAUGACCAAAACUCAUACAAUAUAUGGAAAUUAGAGAAAAUGUAAAAUAAAAAAUUCCAACUCAUGGAUUUGCAACUGCUAUUUGUAAGCUCAAGACAUGUUUCAGAAAUUAUGGAGCUUAGUUAAUAGCUUAUUCAUGACCAAGGAGGUAUUCCAUUCAUUCUCUACUCUACCAUUGGUAUAUUAUGCCUGAUUUCGUUGAUUUCCUAUAUCUGUUUUGUUUCAUCCUGGAUAUUGAUAUAAAUCAGAGGAAAUAUUGGAAAAAGACAUUGGUGCCCUGCUUGUGAUGCUUUUGGGCCUGCAUUUGUUAUCUUAUAUUCUUUUCUGUUCUAUCCAUGGUUGUUUUUUUUUUUUGUCGAAACGAUAGGAUAAUUUCAUUAUAGUAAGGGAAAAAAUUUACAAAUGCGAGCAACGGCUCGAGAGAACUUUACAAAAAGUGUUCAACGACACUGAGGAACAUUCCUUUCCUCAUCCACAAUAAUGCCUAAAGCAUCAACACUUAAUUUUCUACUAUCUAUCAUAUUUUCUUCCCUACUCAAACAAAAGGAGCACAUGCAAAACAGUCUUUUCACAUUCACAAUAUCCUCCAGCAAUGUAGCCAUUCUGCUCCCCAAUGGCUGUGUUUUUGUUAGUUGUUUCAACAGCUCCUUGUUAGCAAAAUUGAGCCUGAUUCUACUCCACCGAUAUUGCGCAGCUUUGCAUAAGACUAGCUUUAAUGCUAGUGCAUCAUCUAGGCUUUGGUUCCCCAGGCUUCUUUCUUUUAGCUUCCAUUCUGCAGUUUUGGUGCCUGAGGUUGUUCUAACUGUGACUCCAAUGCCUAGAUUGUUUUGUCCUUUCCUUGUAGCUGUUGACAGGUCCAUGAUCAUAGCUCCCUGAGCUUCAUUGCCUUGGCUUUGUUGAUCAUGCAUGUGGGCUAUUUCUUCUGUACUCGUUCUAUCUUUUGAUUUCUCUACUUCCACUUGCUCCAGCCACUCUCUAUGUGCUUUUUCUACUGUUCUCAGUGGUGAUGAUCUAGUUGAGCUCUCAAACUCCUUCUUAUUCCUAUCUUUCCAUAUUUGCCACAGAAUAUUUGCUGUCAAGCCAAUAUGUUCCUUCCCUUCUGGUCUUACCUUUGCUUCUGAGAUUCUAAGCCACCAUCUUCUGAAGUCACCCUGCUGGUCCUGAGCCCUGUCCCAGUGAAUAGGUGAUGCCUUCCAGAUGUCCACCGUGUGGGGGCAUGUUAGCAAUAGAUGUUCAAUUGUUUCCUGUGCCUCUCCACAGGUUCUACAUAUUGGAUCUCCUAUUCUUGUUCUUCUACUCACGGCUUCUCUCACUGGUAAAGCUCCUUGUAUACAUUUCCAAAUGAAGAGCUUGGUUUUGUGCUUAAUGUUGAGCUGCCAGAGUGUGUUCCACAUCUAUGACACAUGCUGGCUCCUCUCUAUAUAACUCGAACCAGCUACCUCUGAGAUACUUUUCCUUGCUUUCUUGUUGUUCUUCAUUUGGAUUUUGUAACUUGAGUUGACCGUAUACUUCCCUCCUGCCUGUGGUUGCCAGUAAUAGCUGUCUUCCCUCCCUGACAGACUUAGGGGGAUACUUAGGAUCCUCUCAGCAUCAUCUCUGUUGAAGACUCUAAAUAUGGUGUUCUUGUUCCAUCUGUUGUGGCAAAUGAGCUCAUCCACUCUUUCCAAAUCGCAAUUGUUUGGUUUAACUGCACUUGGCAUUCCUGAUAUUGUCUCUGGUAUCCAUUUAUGCUCCCAGAUUCGUGUAUUCCUUCCAUUGCCAAUUCGCCUAAUCAGUCCCCUGUCCAGCAAACUUCUUGGUCCCAUUAAGCCUUGCCAAAUCAUGGAGGCAUUUUUGGGGGGAUUGCAAUGUAGUAUGGAUUCCUUAGGGAAGUAUUUAGCUUUUAGCACCUUGCUCACAAGAAGGUUUGGCUUGGUGAGGAUUCUCCAUAUCUGCUUCCCUAACAGUGCUUUAUUGAAAGCUUCAAGGUCCUUGAAACCAAGUCCUCCCUCAUUUCUCUUUCGUGCCAUUCUUUCCCAAGAAGUCCAGUGCAUUUUGUUCCUACCACUUGUUUCUCCCCACCAGAAGUUGGCCAUUAGAGCACUGAUAUCUUUGCAAAGUUUUCUUGGUAGCUUGAAACAUGACAUGACAUCCGUUGGCAUGGCCAUAGCUACUGACUUUAGCAUUACCUCUUUCCCUGCUGAGCUGAGGAACUUGCUUUUCCAGUUUUGAAGUCUUCUUUUGAUGUUUUCUCGUACAAAGCCAAAUAUCUGGUCUUUGGUUCUUGAAAUCACCAUCGGGAGGCCUAAAUAUUUUCCUUGCUUUGCCUCAUUCAUCCCUCUCAAUGCUUGGCGCACUUCCUCCCUUUGAUCACUGAUCAUGUUUCUGCUGAAAAAAACAGCAGAUUUGUCUAGAUUGAUCAGUUGACCUGAUGCAGCUUCAUAGAUUUUAAGAACAUUCAUAAUCUCAGUAGCUUGCUGCUUGUCAGCUUUGCAAAAGAUGAGGGAGUCAUCAGCGAAGAAAAGAUGGGUAAGUACAGGUCCUUGCCUACUGAUUUUCAGUUCCUGAAUUCUAUUACUAUCUUCAGCUUUCCUCAACAAAUUGGAGAGUCCUUCAGAGUAGAUUAAGAAUAAAUAAGGAGACAAAGGGUCUCCCUGUUGUAUGCCUCUCCCUGGAGUCACAAAACCUUUGGCUUCUCCAUUGCAAUUGAAGGAGUAAGUUACAGUCUUCAAACAGCUAUUGAUCCAAUUGAUCCAUACCGGACAAAAACCCAUCUUUUCCAUCAUAGCCUGCAAAAAGUGCCACUCUACCCUAUCAUAUGCUUUUGCCAUGUCUAAUUUGAUUGCCAUGUAUCCAUAGUUCCCUUGUCUUUUGUUUUUGAGGUAAUGCAUAUAUUCAUGUGCAAUCAUCACAUUGUCAAGGAUCUGUCUAUCUGGGAUGAAGGCAAAUUGGGUUUUGCUUAUGCAUUUAUCCAAGAUAGAUUUCAGUCGAUUAGUAAGGAUUUUAGAAAUGAUUUUGUAGAGUACACUACAAAGACUGAUAGGCCUAUAGUUCUUCAAACUGGUUUGGUGCAAGAUUUUAGGGAUCAGGGAUAUGACAGUAUGAUUUACUGAUUUAAGCAUGUAUCCGGAGGUAAAGAAGGCUUUGAUUGCUGGGAUAACAUCACAUUUGAUGGUGCUCCAGAACCUUUGGAAGAACAAUGGGGUCAUCCCAUCUUGACCUGGGGCUUUUUCAGAGCUCAUAGAAAAGAGUGCUUCAUGAAUUUCCUUCUCCUCCACAGCUUUAGUCAGCCUUUCAUUCAUUUCCUGGGUUAUGGAUUGAGGAAUACCAUCUAGAACUUCUGACAUAUCACCCCUCCUCCCACUGUUAAACAACUCCUUAAAAAAUUCUGAGAUUUCUGCCACAAUCUCCUCCUCAUUUGUUGUCCAUGAACCAUUCUCUCUCUGCAAGGUCCUGAUUCUGUUACUCACUCUUCUGCCUUUUACAUAGGAGUGGAAGUACUUAGUAUUCUUAUCACCCUCCCUAAGCCAACUGAUCCUAACUUUUUGACACCAGAAAUUUUCUUCCUCCUUAUAAGCUGCUUUCAAUUGGUCUUUUAUGUGAGUUAGGAUUUCUUUCCUAUUGUCAAAACUCGAUUCCUUAACUCUCUGAAAAUCCUUUUUCAGAUCAGUAAUUCUUUGCCUAGAGUUUGCUUGGAAAGUAUUCCUCCACUUCAAAAGCUCAAUUUUGCAAUUUUUAACCUUCUUAGUGAUUUUGAACAUUCUAGAUCCUUGUUCUUCCUUACUCCAAGCUUUUUCUAUCACCUGCUGGAUCCCCUCCCUUUGGAGCCAUCUUUUAUCAAAACAGAAUCUCUUCUUUCUCCUUUCUUUCCUCGGGUCAGACGCAAAGGUGUCUAUAUGCUGAUAUCUAGCCUUUUCAAAAACUUGGAACCAUUCCAUAUUACACAAACAUCUGUCCAACCUUUGUCUAACCUCUCCUUCAUUAUCCCAAUGGUUGCUCCAAGUCCAAGGUUGUCCCUCAAACCCAAUAUCUAUUAAGCUAUUCUGAUCUAUGAAGUCUCUAAAGUCCUUGAAACUUCUCUCCUGCCUUAGAACUCCUCCCCACUUUUCAUCAUUGGACAGAAUGUCAUUAAAGUCCCCAGUAAUUAUGUAUCUAGUUCCCCACAAAUUUCUCCUAUUACUUAGGACCCUCCAUUGUUCUUUUCUGAUCAUAGGGUCACAGCUAACAUAUAUCCCAAUAAACCACCAGCUAACCUGAGUAUCAGGGUCUUCUAACUUAGCUUCUAUCGUGAAAGCAGAUUUAUACACCUCCAAGAUGUUUGCAUCCUGACUCCACAGCAAAGCCGUACCACAUGCUUUGUUCAUAGCUUCAACAGUCACAUUACCAUCACAUCUUAAACCUCUAGUCAGUCUGUCUAUCACAUGCUUCCUAUUCUUUGUCUCACUCAAGAAAACCAGGUUUGGAGAGGAGAGGUUAUAUACCUCCCUCAGAUGGGGAACUGUCAAGGGGCUCCCCACACCUUGACAGUUCCACACCAAAACUCUCAUGUUCCUUGAGGGGUCCCUUUCAGGCAGGUCCCCCUAACCUCUCCCUUUAUCUCAGCAGAAUAGAAUUCUAUCAUAGGUUUAGUCUUUUUCCACUGGAUUAUCUCAGAAUUAGCUUCCUCCAUCUCUUCAUCCCUCAGCAAGACUUUUCUCUUUCCAAAAUUCGACUGACUUGCUCCAUUUUCAUUUAACUCUUUCAAAGGUCUCCUAUUACUGGUUGGGGACUUCAGUCUUAUGAACGUCCUCUUAGCUUGUUUGUCCUUAGCCUCCUGUACCUUUCCAGUCACCAUUGAUUCCUGGUGGAUCACUAGCGCUCCUACAGAUUUCUCAUUGUCCACUAGUCCUUGAUUUUGAUUCUGCAUCUCUAUCUCUCUAUCCUCCUCCCUCACUUCCACUGCCAUAGGGGAUUGAUUUUCUUCCUCAAACUGGAUCACUAGUGGGAGAUCAGGACCUCUCGUUUCUAGGUUCAUGAUGUCUUCACUACAGUCUUGGGUUCCUCCCUUAUUUUCCUUUACUAUUGGUGAGGCUCCCCUACCCUAUUUUUCCUUCGCCUUCUCCCUUUCCUCCCUCCCUUUCUGCGAGCUAUGGUCUUCCUUACCAGACGACAGCAGAGAUUCUAAAAGACUUUGAUUCAAAGGACUCCUAUUUCUAUUUUGUUCAAUCAAUUCUCCUUCCUGGAAUCUCCAAUAUCUUUUGUCACUCGAACCUUCAUUCCUAGUAGGUUGUUUCUGAGGUGAGCUCCUAGUAUUUCCAGCUCUCAACCAGGGCCCGUACUGGUGGCCUCCCAUGCUUCCCCUUACCACUCUCUUAUCCUUACAAGACCUCUCACUGUGUCCUACUAACCCACAACUAUAGCAAAAAUCAGGACACCUCUCAUACUUAAAAGCUAUCCACUUCAGAGCUCCUGCAAUCCUAACCACAGUACCCCUGAGCAGGGGUUUAGACAGGUCAACUAAAGCUAAAAUUUUCAAGUGCCUGCCCACUUUCCCUCCAUUCUGAGGGAUUAGCACCUCUCUUACUUCUUUGAAAACAACCCCUAUCUUGUUUCCUACCUCUUUAGACAGCCAGUGAACUGGCAAAUUCCAGAGUUGCACCCAAAGGGGCGCAGUCAUAAAGGCCCUGUAAUCCUCUUCUAUCCCUUCCUUCCACCUAUUUAAGACUAACAGUUGAUUAUCCAUGACCCAAGGACCACCCUCAAUAAUUCUUUCCUUAUCAACUAGGCUAGGGAUGUUGAACUGAAAAAUAUUUGGGCCAAGUUCCAUCACUGUCAUAUUCCUAGGGUAUCCCCAAGCAGCAGUUACGAAAUUUUUUACCCCUGUAAAGUUGACAACUUUCUCACCUAUAACUCUUCCUAUCAGGCUUUCAUCGCAGGCUCUAACUUCUUGAUGGAGAUCUCCAAAUUCUAACAUGGCUCCAAGGAGCUCAUUCCUCUCCAGAGAGAAUUUUUUUAAGAGCUCAGCUAGGUCUUCUUCCAUCGAUAAUGUCAGAUACUUCAGGAUAGUAUUCCACUACACACCCAGGAGGAAAACCAGAAUGUAGGAGGAUUGGAACAGAAAUAUUAAACAAUAAAAAACAAGGAAAGUUUUCUGGUGUUUAGGUGCAUCUACUAACAGAAAAUGAUGAAAAAAAAGAUGAAAAAAGAUGAGGAUGGCACAUAAAUAGAGUUCUCUGGUCGCAAUACCUCUAAACAUCAGACAGAGGAAGUAAAGACUAGGGAUGUAAUCGAGCCAAGUCAAACUCGAAUAUUGCUAUACUCGAGCUCGACUCGACUCAUAUAUGCCUAGGCUUGAACUUGGCUCGAGCUCGAUCGAGUCCAAAAAAUCGAUACUCGAAACUUGACUCGAGGAAUUUCCUUUAGGCUCGAGACUCGACUCGAUAAGGCUCGACCUUUAGUCAAGCCUUAUCAAGUCGAGUCUAAUCAAGCUUUUUGACUCGACUUGACCAAAAAAUGAGAUCAAAGGUGACGUUUUGGGAAGAUUCAAAGGCAAGCAAGUAGCUAUCAGUUGGAGUAAAUGAGGCAUAAAAUCCAUGAUUCAUCGAUACAAAUACAACCAAAAGUAUCCACAUUCUACCUCCCACAGUUAGCAUCUUUAACACCCCUAAAAAUCAGAUUCACCACAAAGAAAAAUAGAGAAGAAAAAAGGGAAAUUCCCACCUGCUGGAUUGCUUGACAUGAAACUUUCAAAUUCAGCAAUUACCCACCAACGGUAGGUGCCCACAAGAGUAGCAAAAAAUGGAUGAUUCUAAUUCCUCGGACCAUAGUUCCUAAGUGUGCUGCGAAAGUACCCAAACUAACCAAAAUUCCUCACAAAAUUCCAAAACUCAGCAAAACAUGAGCUGAGCCACCAAAUUGAGAGACAAACAAUUAUCUCAAACAGCCACAAUAUCCCAACUACCACAAGCUCAAUUCAAGAAACCAAUGCCAAGAUCUAUCCAGAAAUUCCUUUUCCCCACAAAUAUCACUAAUUACUAACUAAAGAAAGCUGCUUUAAACAAGAACAUGUCAGAAAAAUAUAUUCCUGGUUCAGAAAUGGACCAUAGUCCAGCAGAAUUACAAGUGUUUGAACAAGAUAUAGAAGAAUGAAGUUGAAAACUCUUGUCACUAACCUGACCCAGCAAAGAUGACCUCAAUACCACCAUUAAAAUGAAAUCCCAGAGGCUGGAGCCUUUUAUAGCAAAUUGCAACAGCUCUUUCCAGGCUGUUGAUUAGGUUGUCAUUUUACACAGAGGAAAGAGCAAAAGAACUGGACCCACAAGCAAAACCUCUGAACCUUAUACCACACACGACACACUCAAAAAACAAGUUUUCUAGAUAUUUAUCCUACACAUUAGCAUGUCAUUAGCCAGCGGCCAGCCUGCUCACAUUAGCAUGUCACAAUAGCCAGCGGCCAGCUUGCUCACACAAUAGUCAUACAUUCGGCAAAUGAAAGAAAAAGGCUUCAAAAUAUAAACAUACUCCACAAUACAUAAUAAGUUACAUCUCAUAAAUUAACAAGGUCCAAAUUAUGAGCUAAUCUAGAUUUAGAAACAUAAAUCUUCAAAGCUUUGGCAAGUCGAAUUCUUUGAUUGUCUUGGCUUCCUACAAAAAGCAUAGAGGUAAAAACACAAAAAAAGUUACAUAACUUCCCAAAAGAAUAAAUUAACUUAUACUUAAUAACUCAAAUAUAGAAGUUUGGUAGUAAAACAAUAAAGCUGACCUAUUAGCAAGCAAAGUACACUAUCUUCAUGAAUGGCAGAAUAUUGUUAAAAAAAAAAUCAUGAACAAUUGGUGAUAUCAUUUCUAAAUUGAGGUUGUAUAAUAUGCAUUUACGGUAAGUUUAGCAAGAAUAGUAAAGCAUUGUAAUUUUUCUUAAAUAAUAAUUAUACCAUAUCAUGCUCUGUUUUAUUCCAUUUUAUGUAGUGUCCUGGAGAGAAACAAACUAUUUAAGCAGCUAAGUACUGCUAUGGAAGCAUGGACGUAUGCCCGACUUUGUCACAGGGAAAUAUGUCUACGCUAAACACUGAGGCCCCAUGAGCAUGACAGAACCAGUGGUGAGAAAGCAUCUUUUUGAUUAAGAAUAAUUAACACUAACGCUGGUUUUACUACGGCCAGAAUACCAAGUUUUGAAGAAAAUGACACAAAUCUAACGCAACCUUUGGUGGAUAAACAGUCAAUAAACCCCUAUUUAGAGAACAGUUCAAAAAUGAUUUUUACAGCACCGAGGCACAAUCCAAGAAAGUUCGACAAAGCAAAUCAUCAAGCAAAGGAUACCAGAAGAGUUGCGGCGAAAAUUUCCAAGACACCAACUUUAACAAACUCAGAGUAACCAAAUGCGGUAAUCAAUCAUACUACAUUAGAGCAGAGGCAGACAUACCAGUAACCAGAUGCGAUGGCGAUGGCGAUGGCGAUGGCGAUGGAGUCUCACAGAUGCGGCGAGCAACGGCGUCGGCGACGAACGAGAGACUGAGAGUAACGGAGUGAGGGUUUAGAUCUAAAUCAGUCAGAGUCAGUGGUUGGUAAAGUGAAUUUUUCGGCGAGGCUUUCUUCGAACAGAGAAGAAAGUUGAACAGAGAAGAAAGUCUUUUCUUCCUUUUUUUUAGACAUUUUUUCUUUUUAGGUCUUUUUACAAUUAUGUUAUUACUUUUUUGCCAUUAUGGGAUUUUAUUAUAAAGAAGGGUAUAUUGUAAAUUCCAUAUAACUUAGACCCAUAACGGUCAUUUUAUAAUUAUAAUACAUAUAUAUUAUUUAAAUUAUAAAUAUAUUAUUUAAAUAACCCCGACUCGUCGAGCUACUCGACGAGCCUCGAGCCGAGAAAUUUUGGCUCGAAACUCGACUCGAUUGUCAUUCGAGCUACUCGAAACUCGGCUCGAACUCGGUCAAACCGAGUUCGAGCCAAGCCGUUAACCAAGCUAUUCGCGAGCUACAUCUCUAGUAAAGACACACAGAAUCUCAUUAUACCUGUCAGACGCAUUCCAAAGGGUAGUUCCUUCUGGCGCUUGGACUUCUGCUUUCCAUGCAACCUUCAUCGAUUGUGUUUGCUGCAUUAAUUAGCCUUUGAUUCCAGACAAGAAUUGGAAAUGGAGAUGUUACAGAAAAGUGCGGGAGUGUUGGAGUUUGAAAAUGUUUGAUUUUGCUGCCUUUCCCACCAACGGGGAAGGUAGCUCUUAUCCCAAGAGAGAGCACCUCAAUUUAGAGUAAGAAACACCUCUACAUAGAAAGAGGACUUUUUGGCUACGUUAGUCUAUCCAUGGUUGUUACAACUAGUAAAUUUGACAUAUGAAGCUCACUUCCAUCCAAUACUUUGUACCUUUUUUUCAGCGAAAUAAGUACAUAAGUUUAGAGGGUAAGGACAUAAUAUCAAAAUAAUAUUUUACCUUUGCAAAUAGGAAUGUCAAAUGAGCGAAACUAUGCUACACUCGACUUGAGGUUGAACUAGUCAAAGCUAAUUUGCGCUUAGUUCUCCAAUUAAUCAAACCAAAUAUGAACAAUAUUUAGUAUCCAAAAAAAUUUCAAAUCUGAAAUCGAGCUUGGCUGACUUAACAUAGUAUAUGAAAUUUAUAUGUGAAAAAUUUAAUUGAGUUUGACUUGAUAAAAUCUCAUCUAAAUUCAGCGCAAUAAAUAGAUAAAUUAAAUUUAAAUACAAUUUUAAACUCUUUAGAAUAGAUAGACAAGUUUGACAACUUGAGUGCUUGGCUCAAUUAGCUUCACUCAUAACCUUAUUUGCAAGUAAAAGUUCUGAAAUUUUUUGUGGGGCAAAUAUAAAAUGUCAACAAUAUUUCCACAGAAUACCAGAUUCUCAAUUCUCAAGCUUGGGGAGAAGGGCAAUUUCUUAAGGCAAAAUUAUAAUACAAAUAAACUUUUUAAAAUUCAUAAGAGGGCAAAUGAAUUUUUUAAAAUUCUUGAGGGGUGGCUGCCCCUCCCUGCAAAGAUCCGAUCCAACAAAACUCCUGUCCCGCAGGUUCAUAGAAGUGUUAAAAAAGAAUUCCAAAUGUCAUUUGAAUUCAAAAAUGAAUAAUUUAACUAUCUAAAACUAUUUAGGAUAUAUUAGAUGAUAAUUCGAAUUUAAUAUUAUUCAAGUGACAAUGAAAAUCAAAAUUCUAUGUUGCAUCCCUGCAUUGAGAUGUAUUCGCAUAGAGUUCUUAGUUGAAGAUCUGAAACUAAUGAAAUCUAACCUUCUUAGCCAAGUCCAUGAGACAAGAUCCUAGAACUUCAAAUCCUGUCUCUGUGACGAUAGUUGUCUGAGAUUCACGGAUGGCAUCAGGGACAGUAGGAAUAACAAGGGCCAUCAACCGUCCAUCGACGAGCUCGUGUGCCCUUGCAUUCAGAAAUGACUCCAGGUCCUUGGCAAAUUGAGAUGCAUAAACCUCAAGAAGUUCCUUUUUGGCCCCUCCGUGGUGAAUCUUUCCUUUGUUCCAUGCAGGGGACGUGUUGUCUGUAACCUCUUUUGGCACAUCUGAAAGCCACUGAAGCGCGCAAGAUGAGUGAGCAAAAUGGAGGGAUGCCUUUGGGAGCAAAACCUUGUGGAAGUCACCUGGCACUCCAGCUGCAAGGUAGUGUCUCUCUGGUGGAAGUGAAGCAAAAAGUGUGUUGAAAUCAUUAGAUAUAUGGUCAUUAAAAAAGACUUGAAACUCGGACUUCAGAUGCUAGUCCCUCUUUUCUGAGUUUUUCCUCCAGGGCUUCUCUUAUCACUUUCGUGGCCACAAAUGUAUUUGGUCCUGUAGAACAGCCAAAAUCUGCUAUGCGAAAUGGAUGCACAGAGGUUGAAGAAAGUUGCUUGACAUCAAGUUCUUUGUCAAUCUCUUCUUUGAUAAGUUCUUUUGCAACGUCUACUGCUCCUCUCUGCCACAAAAAAAAAAAAGAAAAUAAAUAAAAUCUUUACGCAAGUCUUAUAUACCUUAGACAUUUAUAAUGAGGUAAUUGCAGUUUAAACUAGCAACCUGAUAGGAUGAGUUUUGGGCAUAGCUUUGAGGUCCAUUUCCUCCAUUCAUGGCAUAUGCUUGAGGCAUUUUUUCUAUCUAUAUCUCUUCUCUUGCCAUGUCUUGAUACCUCUGCCUAGAUGGUUUAAUUUAUACUAGGCAGAGGCUUAGGCUUAAGUGUUGUCUUUUAGCCCUUUACACGACGGGCAUUUCUACUAAUAAAUGGCCAUCCGAAUACAUAACAGGAUUGACAUAUGCAAAACAAACAAGAAACCAAAGCAGAUUUGUAUCUAUCCCCCAACAACCCCAUGAAAAUCGGGUCAAAUUAUUUUUCUAAAUGAUAUUUUAGUUUUCAAUCGCUGCAUUGCUUUUAUUUUUUUUUAAUUUUUUAUUGAAGAUAUCACAUGCAUACAGCAUAUACCCUGCAGGCCAUAAUUCUAUAUUUGUUGUCCAAUGACUAGGGUUGAAAGACGAAUUAAACUACUCGAAACUCGAAUCGACCUUAACUUCAUUCGAGUUUAGUUAAUUAACUAAUAAAAUUGAGGUUGAGCAGCGUUUUGUAUUUGAUAAAUUUUCAAAUUUGACUCGAGCUUCGCUUCCUUUCACUGUGAAUUUGCCAAAUUACUAUGAAUUAAUUUCCUUUUUAAAUUACUCAUCCAAUAUGACUCGAGCUUGGCUUUCCUUUCAAAAUUUUUACUUUUACCCAUGCUUUUUCUUUCCUGUUGGUUUUCUUUUGUGCCAUGAUGUAAAGAAAUAAAGAACACAACUGCAAAUGAUAAGUAUAUUUAGAACUAGUCAUUGGACAUAACAUGGAUUUUUUUUACCUUCUCUUUUUGAUAAAACAACAUCAUAAUUUCAAUAAAAUAUGUAUUAAUGGCAGAAGUUACAUAAUCAAAUAUACAGAGAUAUCAAAGAACAGAUCUGAAGAAUAGAUAAAAAUUACACUAUAAAGCUCUAAAUUUUAAAAAAAUGAGAUAAAAUAAUUGUGGCUCCACAAACAUCUGUGCAUGCUUUCAAGCUUCCAAUCUGUUAAUUAACUGUUUCAAGUUCCAAUAUUAUGGUGAGAUCUAUCAAAUAUAUAUAAGAAAUUCCAGAUCUAACAAAACUUAAAAAACUCAAAUCUAAUAAAAGAAAAAUGAAAAAAAUUACAUAAAACUCUCACCAAGAAUCCCUAGGAGAGAAGAAAACUCACUAGAAAGUCUAAGAAAAAGAAAACUCUCCCUUAACAACCCUAUGAGAGAAGAAACUCUCAUUAGUAAACCUUAGAAGAGAUUCUAUUCGCACAAAUGAAAAAAAUUAUAGAGGGGGCUUCUCCCAUGGGAAAGAUUAGAAAAAUCUGAUCUCUCUCCCAAGGAAGUUUUGAUUGGAGAGUUUUGCAUAGAGAUGUCAAAGAAAAUCAACUUUUCUAGAGAGGAACAAGUGCCAAACAUUUUGUUGUCAUUUUUUUCCUUCUCUUUAAUAUUUUUUCAAUUUUGAUUGUGCUAGCGUAAUUUGUUUCUUGACUGUGCUCUGGCUUUCAAAAUAUAAAUUUACUGAUAUUUGCACAUAUUAUAGUCCUUUUUUGAUAAAAAAACAGAAUUUGUCAACGAAUUAUCGAAAAUCAUCCAGUACGAUUUGAUUUACAUCCCUGUCCUAAUGGCAGGUUAAAUAUGUAUUAGAAAUAAUAGAUCAAAUCUACAAUUUAAUAAAUACAAUACAUUUAAAAAUUUUUGAAUAGAUCUAAAAGUUAUAACAAAAUUUCAAAUUAUAUUCUAACAAGAUAAAUUUGCAUCUCCCUGUGUUGCAAUCGCCAAAUCUACUAAUCAAUGGUUUUAAGUUCCAAUAAUGAUGAUAUGAUCUGAGAGAGACUCAAUAUCUAAAAAAUUCUAAAUCUAACAACUAGAUUUAAAAUAAAUUUGGAUCUAACAACAAAAGAAGAAAAGAAAAAAAAUUCUCAUUAUAAACCCCUAGGAGAAACAAAAAAAUUGCCCUCUGUGUCGUCAGUUUAUUAGCAAACCUUCCUUUGGAGGUACGAAUCAUCAAGUAGUCUAUAAUGAUCACCGGUAUUGGUUUAAAUUUCAUCCGGUUUUACAAAGCAACUAAAAAAUUAUAAUCUGUAAAACUCAUUUUAUUGUUUACGGCAGAUGGAAAUAUUAAACUUCACAUAAAUAACAAACCCCGACCAGUGUUGCACAUGUCCUAAUAAAAAAUGCAUAUAUGUACUACAAAGCAUAUUAAGUAUGCUAAAAUCUAAAAUUCAUUUACCAAGAAGAAUAUAUUCUAUGUUGAUUGAUGACUACUAAAUAAGAGAGCAUAGAGGAGGAAUUUUUUUUUUUUUUUUUUUUUAGAAGAGGAGAGGAGGAGCAUGUUCAAGUUGAAACCUGCAUGCAACACAAUCGUUCAGGGAUAGUCCUGAUGAUGACUGUCCCUAUCCCCAAGUACUAAAUAAAUCCUUUGUGAAGUUGGAGCACGUUCGAAAACUGUGGGGAAUCAAACUAUUGAAAUGAUUGAAAAAUCAAGAAGGGGAAAAUUCUUGCUAGGAAAAAAUGAAUGUAAUUAAAUAAUUGAUAAAAGAAGGGGAUUAAAUCCACACCCUUCCAUCCUAGAUCCACAUCACAAGCGCUAAUAAGACAUUAAUAUGUGUUAGAAAUAAUAGAUCGGAUCUACAAUUUAACAUAUACAAUAGAUCUAAAAUAUUUUGAACAGAUUUAAAAAAUAUAAGAAACUCUUAAGUUGUCUUCUAGCAAGAUAAAUCGUUGCAACUCUUUUGUGUGCAUGUUGCAAUUGCUAGAUUUGUCAAUCAACGUCUGCGGUGAUGGAGAAAAAGUGGGGGCAAUUGCCGCCAUUGACCCCUCCUAAAUCUCCAUAUUAAUUUAUAUAUAAAAUUAGAGUUUUGCCCCCACACUCAAAUGAAAUCGCCCCACUACUCUUCAACAAAAUUCAAGUAUUAGAGAAUUGCCCUCACUAAGUUGUCCGUAUCUGCAUAUAAAAUUGUAAGUUUGCCCCCACACUUGAACGAAAUUAACCUUACUACCCUUCAACAAAAUCUAAAAUAAUAAUGUACACUUUGUUUAUAUAUCUCUACAUCAAACAAUUUAACAACACUUAAAAUUAAUGCAGUAGAAGUAUAAAUGCGAUAUAUAAAGACUUGGAUAAAUAACCACUCAAAAAUAUAUUUGAUUAGAAUAUACCAAGUCGCGAGGCUCUAAUUGAUCACUCAAGAGGUGAAGGGAAAUCGUAUCACUUGGAAGGCAAAGAAACAAGGCACAGAUAUUUUGGAACAAUGCUUUAACAUAUACUAACUCAAAUUUUACAUGAGAUUGCUCAAUUGAGCAUUCAGCCAUAAGGCCAUAUAUACAGGAAAGAACCUAACAACUCCUUAUUAGAUUUUACUAUCAUAAACUCGUUCCAAUUGUAAUAUCAAAAAACAAUUUAACUUUGUUUCUUAAAUCAAUUUUGGCACCAAUUCUAAUCUAGUUACCAAAUAAUAAUAUAAUCCUAAAACUGCUAAAUUUCUAAAAAGGUUUGGUUUAAAAUAUGUCAACAACGGUCUUGUCUAAACAAAGAAAGAGACUCAAUUUACAUUUAUUCUUUUUUUUAUCUAUUUUAACAAAUCCAUUAGAAUUUUAAAAAACUUUUUUCACCACACAUUGGAACUGACAAACAUUGCUAAUUUUUUUAUUUCCUCUUAGAAAAAUCUAGAGAAAAUUUUUAGGGUUGUGAGAGGAAAAGUAGAAAAAUCCUUUAUUAGGAAAUUAGAGAUUUGUUUUGUUGUUAAAUUAUAGAUUAAUUAUAAACAUAACUUCUAGCAUAUAUUGUUAGUUAAAUAUAUUUUUAUAUUUUAAUUAGUAAUAUUUUAGAAAUUAACUUUACUCCAUUAAAUUUCUUUUCUAACUCUGCCCCGAACAUCGAUAAGCAGCAAUAAUGUUGAUGAGAUCUGUCAAAAGGGACCCAAGACCUAAAAAUUUCCAAAUCUGAAAUAAAUUUAGAUCUAACAAUAAAAGAAAAAGAAAAAAAUAGAAAAUUCUUACAAGAAACCCCAGAAGAAAUAGAAAAUUGUCCUUUGUGUUGUCUGUCUAUUAGCAAACCCUUCUUUGGAGGUACGACUCAUCAAGUAGUCUAUACUGAUCACUACUAUUUUUUUACAUUUAUAAAUUUUAAAUAUCCCACACGCGAUUUUUCACAAGUAUACGAGUCGUGAUUGAGUAUAGGGUAUUAAUGGUCGAACCCAAAGAAAAGAUUGUCAAUUACCGAUGAUUUUAGAAUUCUUUUAUUAUUUAGACUAUCAUAAAUGCACAAAAAUUAAAUCUACACUAUAAACAUGAGAUAAAAGUAAAAAUAACAAUAGAAAACUUCCAAAGAUAUGGAAUUCCUUACUACUCUUGCAAGUGAAUCGAAGUUACCGGUUAAGUGAAUGAUUUAUCUUGGCUAGUUAUGGAGUAAUUUUCUAAUUAUGUGAAACCUACUUUUGUGGUGAAUCAACUAUACUUGUAACUAAACCAUACCUAAUCUCGUGGUUAUGAAAUUAACUACAAGCUCUUUUUUUUUAUGAAAUUACAUGAAACAAGUCACUAAAGCCAUAAAGGUGCACCUCUACUCUCGUGAGUGUUUUCCCUAGGUUUAUCACUUCCUUGAACUAGUGUUAAAUUUCAAUUCUCAUUGCAAACUUAACACGUUACGAUUAUCACAAUUAAUGGUCGGUUAAUCAUGAUUAGAAAAGAAAAAGUGAUAGAUAACUUACUCAAUAUAUAUUUGAUAUAGAAAGUUCAUCUAUAACUCUAGGCAUAAACUUUAACUAAACAUGAAGAACAAGAUCCAAACUUGUAUUAUAACUAAACAUGAAAUCAAAUAAAAAAAGAAAGUGUUAGGAGAGAGGUCACCCUUAUCACAUGAGAUCCAUCUCUCCAUCUUUGCUCCUUAAUUCUUUAUCCAAAUCUAGCUACAAAUGCAAAAAGAAUAAACUACAUUAACUAUACUAAUCUACCCUAACUAAUGAACUAGGUAUACUCUAGUGAAGACUACAUUUUUGUGGAGUUUCUCUAGCCUUCCAAAGUUGUAAAAAUGUUCUUCAAGGCCUCUAUUUAUAGAAAGAUUCAAGCCACAAAUGAGUUGUUUCUAGUUGGCAAAAUUGGAUCUUAAAACUCUCAAAGGUUGCUUCUCAAAGUUUUCAUGCUCAUCUACUUAUUUCCAGCAGGAAUCUUUGUAGAAAAAGUGGUAAAAAAAGUUGUGUGAACAAAGCACAAGUUGCAAAGCAAGUUGUAGCCGAAAUUAGAGAAUACGCGAUCUACCCAUGUUUUGCUCUUUCGCAGGUUUGCUCAUCUCUGGUUGUUCUUCACCCUUACUCUGUUUUUUUGCCAACUUCUACUGAUAUUUUCUCAAUAAUGGCAGCUGAACUAGCUCUUGCACAAAACAUGAAAGUUGUAGCCCUUUGAGUUAGCUUUCCAAUGCAUUAAAAACCAUCCAAUUUGAAUCUCUGUAGACUGAUAAAUUAUUAAAACACCCUCGAUUGAUCAGAGCUCUGUUUCAGCUUUCGAUAACAAAAUUGCAUUUCUGUAUUUCGAUAUUUUGACAAUGAAAAUGACUAAACUGGAUGUCGAUGUCUUCAUACCAAAUGUAGAUCUUUCUCUUAGUUUCAAAAUGGUAUAAGAAUCAACUCAAUCCAAUGCUUGUAGCUCAACAUAUAGUUGAAAUACCACAAAGUGUCAAAGCUGGAAAACUUCCUUAAUUGCAUUUCAUCUCUUGCACUUCAUAUUAUCUUAAAAACCACUUCAAAUCAUCAAAAAUCAUCCAAUUAUGUGCUCAACUCACUCCAUUUGAUGAUUAAAUCAUUGAAUCUAUAAAAACAUGAAGUUUUCACCAUUAAAAUCCAUAGAAAUACAAUUUUUACCACUUAAAUCAUAAAAUGCAUAUUUUCACUAGAAACUUAGUUCAUAAGCUAUAAAACUAAUUAAAACACAUAAAAAUAAUUAAUAAAACACAACCUGCAUGCAAUACGUACCGUGGUGCUAAAUAAAUCUUUUGUGAAGUAGGAGCACGUUCCAAAACCGUAGGGAAUCAAACUGUUGAAAUAAUUGAAAGAAAACUCAAGAAAAGAAAAUUCUUGCUGGGGAGAAAUCAAUGCAAUUAAAUAAUUGAUAAAAGGAAGGGGCUAAAUCCGCACCUUUCCAUCCUAGAUCUACAUCUUAAGUACUAAUAAGACGUUAGGGCUCUUAUAGUAUAAGUUAGUAACUUUUCUUUUGUAAAGUAUCAAUAAAUUACCUGCAUAAUACUAUCCUUUGAAUUAUUUCCUAACAAUUAUGCUGCAUAAAGCAUCUUCCUAAAAAUGUUCAUAGUAAGGUACAUUUUUUUCUCACAUGAAUUAACCACAAAAUUCUGAUCCUUAACACUCAGAAAAUACAAAAGGAUCAUCUAUUGAUACAUUAGACUAGCAGCACUACAUUGUCAUAUAAUAAUCGAAACCUCGCUGGGACAUUUCGUAAAUGUCAAAACAUUAGUUUUUAUGUUUUACAAUGAUCAUUCAUAGUUUGGCAAAAUCUAAUUGGUACAUAAUGAAAAGUCAAAUUUUUUAUAUUUUGCAUAUUUGGAUAGGCCAAAAAUAUCUAAAGAAAAUCUUGUGGGGAAAUUCACUGUCAUUAAAUAGCUUUUAUAUAUAAAAAGAUUAUAAAAUUGGAAUAUAUUUGAAAGGUAUUAGAAUGGAAUAAAUAGUUACAAGAAUAAUGCAAGGCAAAUUAUUUCUAUUCCGUAAAAGCAUAAAAUUUGAGUAAACCAAAAAAAAAAAAAGAAGUUGGAGUAAACAAAGUUAGAAGAAAAAACCUAUUAAAUGUUAAGGGCUUCAAUGUCACAUUGGUCCAUAGGAUGUUUAUUGAGGAUAUGAUGGGUGGAUUUAGCCCGUUCGUUGACAAAAAUAUCCUAAUAAAAUUAAAUGAUAUACUAUCAGUCCUGAUGAAGAACCUAUAUAUUAAUAACAUAAUUUACAUAUUUACAUGUUGCAUAUUCCACAUUUAUCCAUCCGAAUCGUAGUUAAGCUAGAAAUCCUGUAAUCAUGGGCAAACUAGUUAGAUCCAAAAGGAGAAACACUAAAGUCAGAAGCCCCCUUAGAACCUAAAAAAGUAAUAGAAUAGUGUAGACAAUGUAUAGGUGUAGUCAACAUGAUGAUGCUGGAUGGUUUCAUUGACUUCAUAACAAUGAAGACUAGGCACAUAUUUCCUUUCAUUACCCAAAAAAAAAAAAAAAGGAAGACUAGGUACAGUAUUAUUGGCUUCAGAUAUCCGAUUCUGCUACCACAGAAAAUCACGCAAUAGAAGAAAAAGAAAUACGUCCAAUUAGAAGUCGCUGAUUUGAGUUUUGCUCUAUAAAAUAGGAUUGCAAUUCCAAUUAGUCUCUCCCAUUCCCCUUUCCCCUCCAUCUAACUUUUGAGUUAUGAAGAAGUUAUUAGUUAGUUGAUCUACAUAAAUAUUAUUUUUAAGGAUAUUACUAUGUUUGUUUUUCAUUUUUUUUUUGGUCAAGUAAUAUAUCUUGAUGGUUAAAUAGUGCAUUUUUUGUUUAAUUAUUUCAAUUUUCAUCUACCAAAUGUCCCUAUUCAAAUACUUGAUUUUGCAUCCUCGAUCAUUCCCUUAUCAUCCACAAUAAAUAAAAUUGUAAAUAUCUACGUAGGAUCCAUAUAAAAAGUACAAUAUAGACAUCUAUUCAUUUAAGCAUCUUGAUGUGAAAAGGAUCACAGUUAAGCUCUUAAAAACUAAUAAAAUAAAAAAUUGGGAAAAAAAAAAAAGAGUUUCACGCGAUUCUAGCGCACUUUCCACAAGCAUUGCACAUGCAUCGUUGCUACCUAUACUCUAGUGUCCCUCUGGACUGUGAAUUAUUUUUUAUUAGUAGACAAUAUCUUUUGUUUUUUUUUUUUUUUUUCCUUUCCAAAAUUCCAUUUAAGUUAAGAGUUUGAUCCUCUCACCUAUGUGCUUAGGUAGGGAAAGAUAUAAGGGUUGCAAGUUGCAACCUCAGCUAGGUCAUUCUUUCAAGAAGAAGGCUCCAUUCUUUAUCCUUUCCGUUUUUUUUUUUUAUGGUCUGUCAUCUCUUUCCAUACCCUUUCUAUCCCUAACUGCUAGGUACUAUAUAUUUGAAUUGUGAAUUUGAUAAUAUUGACUUUAUGUGUUAUACAAAAAUAAUUCACAAAAGACAAACUUAUUUUGAAAAUUUUCUAAAAAUUUUCAUACAUGAUACUAACAAUUGUCCCUUCUGUGCUGAAGGCAUAAUUAUAGACCAACUUUAGAUGGAACAAGGACGUUAGUACCUUGGAAUUAGACCUAAAAUUGAACUUAGAUAAGAAUUUCACUAAAUUGUACCAUCCAACUAAAUUGUACAUUUUCUCACAUGGUAUGAGAAUACUAAAAACAAAAAAUUUUAAAUACAUUACCCUUACUUGAAUUAACAAUGUGUUAGCAUGUUUUUUGCAUUGGUGAAAUUAACUUGUUAUUUGCAUGCGUAACUAAGUUGAAAAUUAUUACGACUAUAUGAUACCCCUUCUAAUUUCAAAAUCUCCAUGUAAGGUGUAAUUAUCAUUUUUUAAUCUGUCUUUGAAAAAAAAAAAAAAAAAAGAAUCUACGUUGUUAUUCACUAGAACGUUACAUGCUUUUAAUCUUAAAAAAAAUUUCGUGGAGGAGAGCUUGGUGUGAACCCAGUGAGUUUUUACUAAUAAAUCGUACCAUGCCUUCUAACUUUUAAUUCUUGAAUUGUUUCUUAUCAUAAAAGCGCAUUAUCUAUCAGUAUUUUCUUGAUGACAAUGAUAAAUAAUUCAAAGAAUAGUAUUAUGAAGGCAAUUUAUUGAUAUUUCACAAAAGAAAAGUUGUUAAUUAACUUUUUUUAUAUACUAUAAGGGCCCCAAUGUCUUAUUAGUGUAUCUAGGAUUGGAGGGUAUGGAUUUAAGUCCUUCCUUUUAUGAAUUAUUUAAUUCCAUUGAUUUCUUCCUAGCAAGAAUUUUCCUCUUCUAUGUUCUCUUAUUUAGUAGUCAUCAAUCAACAAAGAAUAUAAUCUUGUUGGUAGGUAAAUUUCAGAUUCUAGCAUACCUAAUAUGCCCUAUAGUACAUACAUGCAAUUCCUUUUUUUAUUAUUUUAUUAUUAGGACAUAUGCAUCAUUGGUUGGAAGGAGUAAAGGUAUAGGAAACAAAGUCAUGGAUACUAGUACUAUUUUAUAUUUAUUCCAAACAAUUUCCAAAGAGAAGUCAAAUGAAAUCCUUCUUCAAAAUUUCUCAAGAACAAUAAGGAGGCAAGAAAAAAGGAUAGCAAGAAAGCAAAGCAAAAUCAAAGUUCAAACUUUCUUUAAAAAAAAAUAAAAAAAUAAAAAAUGCCCCAAAUAUCCAAUGCCUAAAUUGCAUUUCUUGGGCCGAGUUAAGUAAAGACAAACUAUCUCCUUAUAAGCCAUGUUAUUGGACAAACGCUCAACAACACAUGCGCCCUACUCAAUCGUUUCCGGGCAUUUGAGGGCUCGCUCUGGACUGGGACUCGCCCCUACGCUUGGUUCAGAAAAUGCCUUUGAAAACACUAAUUACGAUUAUUAGCUCCAACCGUAGUUUGUUUGUGGAGGUCCAAGGCCGAACUUUCUCAGUAACUUUUGCUGUCGGUGGAUGGUUGGAGUUAUGAGCGGACACGAGGCGUGGAUGCUAUCAGUAACAAUUGUUUGGAAUAAUGUAACAUUUUUUUAAUAAGGUAUAAAUUCACGUGAAUUACUUAUAAAAUUUAGUAUUACAUAUGAACCUUACAUGAAGUAUCGCAAUUAUUACUUUCAAGGUUUAUAAAAUCGGGAUCCUACGUAAGAUCGAUUUUAAUUUUACAUAAUCGGAUCAUAGAAUCGUAAGAUCCCACCAAAAGCUCCUAAAUUAAUGAAUUUGAAAUUCAUAUACCAUUUUGCACAUCCUAAAAGAUUUCAAAUAAAUAGAUAACUCAUAAAUAUUUUAUACUAUAUUGUCCAUUUCCUGUUUUGAGUUUUAACAAUCAGACAAGGAACCUUUACUUGAUCUACUAAUGUUUUCUUUACAACCUUUCAGCCGAAAAGUUGUGUUUUUGCACUGGCCUGUAGUAGAAUGUAGAAUAGAUGAUCAUAGCAAAACUAGCUGCUAUAGAUAUAGACGAUGAUCCAUAUGGCUUGCAAUAAUAAACUAACAUUGUAAAAAGGGCAACAAAUGAAGCCUAAUAUAUAGUUGAGUAUCAUUGACCACUAUACAUCACUUGUAUGCAUCUCAAGUCAAGUUUGAAACAAGCAAACAAUUCCAGUUCAUAUUGGCUUGCCAGCCAUUUAAUUUUCAGACUUACAUUUUAUUAAUUCUCCGUAAUUUAAUUCUAAUGUGCUAAAAUUAAGGAAGCAACCAAUCAACACAACAACAGCGGCCUGAAAUACGUGGCAUGGGGGCCUCAUAAUCAUUCAUUCAUGGGUUCAAAAGAAAAGAUGAAAGAAAGCUGCCGACGAUCAUCAAUUUGCAGGCAUGUGGUGUGGAGCAACAACUAUGGAGGAUUUGAGUAGAGAAAUGCUUAGCCAAGCAAAAGGAAUACUAUAAGGCGAUGAAUAAUCUUGGUCUUGGUCUUGGGGGCCCAUCUAAAACAAAAAAUAAUUUGCAAUGCGUGAAAGUGACUUAAGAUCUAAAUUCUAGAGUAAUUCAGUUGGCUGGAAUCCGGCGGCAACAGAGGAGAUUUCGUCUUGAAGGUGCCAAAAUCCGGCGGCAGCAGAGGAGAUUUCGUCUUGAAGCCUUACGAAAUCUAGCUUGAAGCCUUGAAGCUGUAGCUUGUUGGUAAUUGGUAAAAGCCGCAGCGAUUUCGUCUUGUUGGUAGGCGUAGGAGUUGCAGCAGUUUGAUGGAUAAAUUCUAGGGUUUUGGGCAGCGGUGGAGAAGAAAAGAAAAGUGCAGGCUGAACCGCUGAAGAAUGAAGUAAAGAGCAAAAGAAACGACGAAGGAAAGGAGUCAAAGGCUGACCGACUAAGGAAAGGCAAAGAUGAGAAGAAUCGGUGCUUUUUUUGACAUUUUGAGCAAAAAUGGUUAAAACAUUGCAAUUAAAGGCUGCAAUUCUUUGAUAAAUUACAAGCCUACCCCAAAUGUUUUCAUUUACUUGCAAAAUGAAGUCUCGAAUUUCACAUAUUAGCAAAAUUUUGUAGGAUCGUACGAUUCUAUACGAUCCUAUCGAUCUUACCAGCAAUUAAUGCAAUUUGCGAUUUUGAAUGCGAUCCGGAUCGAUUUUGGUUAUCCGGAUCGUAGGAUCGUACGAUCCGGAUCGCGAUUUUGACAACCAAAGGAUGUACAAAAAAUUUAUAUAAAAUUACAAAUCGUUCAAAAAAUAUUACAAUAUUCGGGAACGACUGAUCUAAGCCCUGCGUCCGUUGGGCAUUCUAAUCUCCCAAGUGAUCCCGCAGCCCCAAUCUGGCCUCCCCCUUCCUAUGUUCCUAUUGCAUUUUUUUUCCUUUUCUAGGCUAUUCCUUGUCUUGUUGAUCAUGGUUUCACUCUAUCGUCUUUGAUUUUUUCCAUGCCUAGUCUUUCUCAUGCAAUUUUCCAUCCAAUUAACGAAUUCCGGUAAAAGGAAAAACUUUGCAGCACAAGGAAAAUUAUGAAACGUCAAAAUGGUGGUGAAUCAUUCAUUAGUCGCUAAAUAGGAAAUUUGCAAUUUUUUGUCCACAAUCGUGGCCUUAGAUCAAUGUUUUCAGAAUCGGACCGGACCGGCCGGUUCAACCGGUUGGACAGCGAACCGAACAGGCCACCGGUCCAGUCUAGAGCUAAAGUCGAAGAGUAAUGAAAAAUCGCUAGAAACAGGAUGACUCGGACGAACCGUGAAAAACCGCACAUACCGUGAACCGGCAGUUUUUGAAACUUUUCAAAAUUAAUUUCCAAUUUGCAACCACCAAGAAUCGAACACCCGGACGAACCGUGAAAAACCGCACGAACCAUGAACCAGCAGUUUUUGAAACUUUUCAAAAUUAAUUUCCAAUUUGUAGCCACCAAGAAUCGAACACCAGACCUUGCAUUUGUCACAAGGAGCCCUUUACCAUUGAACCAUAGCCAGCAGACAAUUGUUUUGUGUAGAUAUCUACUUAAUUUAUUAAGUGAAAAACUAAAAAUACCAACCUAAGACACAUCAAACUUAUUUCUUUGUAUAUAAAAAAUAUAUAAAUGCAAAGAUAGUAAUAAUUGUUAGAAUAUUUAUAUAUAUAUAUAAUAAAUUAGGUGAAUAUUAAAUGUGUUAGGGCAACCGUUAGAAAAAUUCUUUAAUAAAAUAGCUUUUUCAAAUUAUUUUUUUUAAUUUUUGUAGAAAAAUGUACAACAACAGUUUAAUGUGUGUAGCAUAAAGACAAUCAAUAAAUAGAUUAGUGAAAAAAUAAAAAAUUUAAAAAAUGACAAUCCAAACAAGGUCUAAUUUGGUAACUAAAUUGAAUUGUUUAGAUAAGUUAUUAUUUAAAAAAUUUUUAAUUACAUCAGAAACACUUAUGCUUUACAUCAUAAAUACAUUGUUGGUAUAUCAAUGUUUGUUAAUGUACUCCCCUUGAUUAUUAAUGUAAUCCCCUUGAUUUUUUAAUUUGUGAAAAUAAAUAAAAAUACUCAAACUUUUAAUUUCAGUUACAAUCUCACAAUAAAAUAGUGGUUGAAAUGCAAUAACAGAUAGAAAGAUUGAAUAGGGAUAUUCCUGCUCAAUUGACAUUGUAGACAAGUAUUUAGGAAAAAAAUUGAUAAAUAAUUAUUAUUUUAAAAAAUUAUUUAUAAUUACAUUGUACACAUUCGUACUUUACAUCAUAACUCCUAGAUUUUUUUUUAUUUGUGUGAAUAAACAAAAUACUUAAAAAUUUUAAUUUCAAUUACAAUCUCAAAACAAUAUCGUAGGUAGUAAGAUUGAAUAAGGAUAUUGUUACCUAAUUGACUGGUAGAUAAGUAUUAGAAAAGGGAACAUCGAUAAAUAAUUCGGCGCUAAUAACAAUUUUCUAGUGGACAAAAAAUGUGAAUAUGGAGAAUUUUUUUCUUUUCUUUUUUCCUUUCCAAUGAAUAUGGAUCGAGUGAGAAUGUCAAAUGGCCGAAAUGAAAACACAAAUUUGGUAUCUGGCUAGAUGUCAAAUUUGAAAACACAAAUUUCAGAUUCGUGUGAUAGAGGAUAUCGGGCUGGAUAUUUUUUAGUAUUACUUCAAGAAGGUUCCACAUUCCUCUGAAGUCUUAUUUAGACCCAUCUCAAAUUUGAAUUGCAUCAUUACCGAGUUGGGCCUGACAAUAGCCUGUACCAUGUUCUUGGACAUCAACCUUCAAAGUUUAAGCUUGUAGCUGUAGGCAGUGAACUAUUUCCGGAAAGAAAGAUGUUUAUUUAAAAAAAAAAACAGUGAACCGGCCGGUCGGACCGCGAACCGGUACCUUCUCCGGUUCACUGCCGGUCCGGUUCUGAAAACAUUGCCUUAGAUAAGGACCUACUUGGUUUAUCCAGUUUUUCAACAAGACACAUGAAACUUUUUCAACUUGGGCUCAUUAAGUAAAAGUAGUUACCAAAACAAAGCCCUCAUGAGUAGUAGUAUUGCAGUACAUGAAGUUAACAAUAAAUGUAGUCAAGGGAUACCCUGCAAAAAUAAGAGGUGUUUACAAUACCUAGAAAUGGGCACGCCUCUAUGUGAAUUGACAUCAUAGGAUUUUUUUUUAAUAGGAGAGGGAUGGGAUUUAAGAUGCAUGAAGGGAAUAGGAAAAUUUGAAUCCAAUACCUCGGAGCUCUCAAAAAUAGCAUCAAAGUCAUUUUCAAAGAAGUAUACGUACUCCCUCAUUCCCACUUUGAUAGUUUUGGUUUUUCUUUUUAACAUAGUUUAAGUGAAACUAAUUAAUUUUGUUGGAAGAGUAAAUCUAGUCUAGUAUUUUUUUAAAAUACCCUUAUAUUGAUAUUAGGACUAUAACUAAUCGCUAUAGUUUUACAUUAAUUACAAUAACAAUACUAUGAAAGUUGCACCAUUCAAGAUAUGAAUCUAAGCAAUUAAUGAAUGAUGUAGAUUAUAUUCACUGAUAACAAAGUACAUUAAAUAAGAAUAUUUUAGAGAAGUUAUAAGUUAAGUAUAUUUUUCAAUUGAAAAGUAGAUUAUACUUUGGGACGAAUGAAUAAGGAAAACAAGAUUAUCAAUUUGGGAUGGAGAACGUAUAUAGAAUGUGUGACGCUUUUGUACAAUAAUAUGAAAUGAGAAUACAAAACAAUACCUAGUUUUAUGGAAACAUGGAUCUUCACCUAAGAAUACUCAAUUUGUAGAAAUGAAGACUUGGAUUCCUUAUUAAUUGGGCAAGAAGCUAUAUAGGAGUAUACUAAAAGAAUGGUAAAUAUUACUUAAGAACUUCAAAUGUUUUGUGUCGUGCCCUAUUUUUGAAAAAUAAAAAGGGAAAGGUGUUAGAAAAAUGUGUUUUUUAUUUUAUUUUUAGAAAAUAAAGAAAAAUGGCCUAACAUGGGACAUAUAAAGUGUGAUGGUUUGGGCUCAAAAUUUAGUCUUAAAAAGGGCUUUUUUAAAGAAAAAUAAGAGGAGCCACUUGGUAUCGAGUUUAGGUGUACCAAAUCAUCUAAAAUGUAUUUUAAAUAAAAAACCAAUAAAACCAUUUUAGACGACUCCAGAUCUUUGAAAACGAGAGAAAAGAGUUCGGGAGUCACGUUUGAAAAAAGAGAAGACAAAGAUUUGAUUUAAAGCACCAUUUCAACUUAACCAUAGUUAGUUGAGAGAUUUAGUCAAAAAUUCUCCUAAUCUAACCUAUAAAACUUAUCACAUUUUUUAUGUUUCUAUAUGGAUGCAAUUCUAGACCUAAGGGAUAUCAGAAGGAUUGAAAUGUCUCUUCAAAGUUAGACGACUACAGAUCUUUAAAAAUGAGAGAAAAGAGUUCGGGAAUCACGUUUGAAGAAAGAGAAGACAAAGAUUUGAUUUAAAGCACCUUUUCAACCUAACCAAAGUUAGUUGCGAGAUUUAGUCAAAAAUUCUCCUAAUCUAACCUAUAAAACUUAUCACAUUUUUUAUGUUUCUAUAUGGAUGCAAGUCUAGACCUAAAGGAUAUCAGAAAGACUGAAAUGUCUCUUCAAAGUUUAAUUGGUAUCAAUCACAUUAAUUAUGAAGUCCAAGAAUAAUUCUUUGAAUAGGUCAUGAAAAAUGCAAAAGAUGAGACACAAAAAAAAAAAGAAAAUAUAAUAUAUAGAUAAACAUACAUGACUUAGAAGAGAGGAAUGCAACAUAACGGGUAUGGGAUGCUAAAAUUCGUCACUCAAUUUUCCUUCUUAUAGAGGGGUAAUAGCGUGUUAAGGUUAAAAAACCAUAAUCGCUCAUUUUCCACAUUCGAAGAGUGACACUUUUAAUCUAAGCAAGCAAAUGAACUAGCCUAUUUCUAAAAUGAAAUACAAUUUUAAAUGAUAUGGUCCAAACAUAUAAAGGGUAAGAGGAUAAUAGUAGGGAAAAUAUCAUGCAAAUGAUAAAAAUUCUAAAAUAGGAAAAAAUGCAUGAGAUGCAAUAAAUGUCACACCAAAGCAUGAAUCUAAUGUAUGAAUGAUCUAAAGAGUCUAGCGUUGGGUUAGCCCAUUUCUAAAAGUCCUCACUAGCGUUGAAUUAGUGAGAAAUCGAAAAGAAAAGUCACAACUAGCGUUGGACUAGUGUGGUGAUGUCAUGCACUCAUUAUAAAUAAAUAAAGCAUAUAAAACAUAAUUAAAGUCAAUAAACACAUAAACACAUAGAGCACGUAGUACAUAGGCAUAAUAUUUAAAUGCAAAAUCUUAGAGAAAACGAAUAAAACACAUAAGCACACAAGCAUGCAAGCAAAUAAAAACUAAUUAUUGCAUUGGGGGUCCUAACUACAAUCUAGAAAGGGAAUUGUGAAAAUAAUAAACCUAUCUAUUAUAUUUAUCUAACUAAUUAUAUUUUUGAUAAAAAUAAAAUCUAUCUAUUACAUGGUCUAACUAAAUACAUUUCUUGGACACCUAUUUAUUACAAUUUGGCAUUCACAAAUAAGCAUAAAAAAUUCAAUAAAAUGAAUGAAAACCUAAAUGGAUAAAAUGAGUAAAUGAAAAAAAAGCAUUCAAAACAUUUAAUCAUACAUAAAAACACAUAGGAGCACAUAAAGGAAUUUAAAAUAAUAAUAGAAGGUACCUCCUUUGAAGUAGUGGUUAAAUGAGGUAGAAUUUGCCCUAUUUAUACUCCAAAACCGACAAAAAAGUUAAGACACCAAUUUAAUUAACAAUUAAAAGAAAAAUGUAAACAUAUAGCAAAUUCACUUUAUUAUUAUAAAGAAAUAUGAAUAUACAUAAAGUCCCUAAAAUUUACUAAUUAAAAACAUUUAAAUGAAGCAUGAUUGACAAUUAAAGAAGGUAAACAAUUAUACUUAAGAAAUCAAACCAUUAGGGAAUUAAUUGUAAAAAAUUGAAAAGUUUUUAGGCCAAAUUAUAGUUUUUACAAAGAUUAGGGGCCAAAAUUAAAUAAAAGAUAAAGUUUAGGGAUCAAAAUAUAAUUAAAUUAAGAACCUUAUCGAAAGAAAUUCAAAUGCUUUCAGGGCUGAAGUGAAAUUACUCAAAAGAUCAGGAGCUUGGUUGCAAAAUUCGUUUUCUAGUUUAACCAGAAAACAAACCUUGGGCCCUUUUACAUUGAAUUUUAUGCCGGACCUCUCUUCGGCCCAAAGAAAAAAGCAGACCCUUUUUGUUUAAAAAUGGAACAACCCACUUAUUCUUACUAAACUAAAGCCAACAAAAACAUUGGGUUUAAGUAUUAAAGCCCAUAUACAAACCCAAACAAAUAAAACUACCAGCUCAUUAAACUAAACCCAUCUACAUAUAUUCCUAAAAUUAUCUUGAUUAAAUGAUCUAAACCCAACAAAUUUCAUUCAAAGCCCCAAUUAUACUCCAAAAUCCAGAAUUAAUUUAUUCAAAGCAUGUACAAAAGAAAUCAAUAGGCUUUAAAGGAAGAAAAAUAUGUCCACUUUUUCACAAUUUUAGGCCUUAGUGCAAUUAUUCUUUUUUUGGGGGGGGGGAGCUGCAAAUUGUGGAUUUCUCCAUGCAAGAACAACGAAGAAUUCUGCACUUUGGAAGUUCACCAAACCCCGAAACCGUACCAAAAUGGUUUCCAAAAUUUCGGAUCCAUAUACACAAGAUUAUGCAACCUCAAACAUCAACACCAAAUCUCAUCACCCAAAUACAAGAUUCAACACAAGAUUAUAUAGUAGAAAUUUGAGCUAACGGCCAGCAAAAAAAAAAGAAAAAGGAAGAGGAAAACAGCAGCGAAGAUUUUCACAGAUCUGGUGCGGAUCUAAGCUUUUAUGAAAGGAAAGAAAUGAAAUAAACUACCUUUGAUACCUUGUGGAGUUGAAUAAACGCGGCAAAUCUCAAAAAAAAACAAAAAAGGAUCCAAAUACUAGAAGAUGAAGCUGACAGCUUCUUGGGAUCGGUUUCAAGGGUUGGCAAAGCAAGGAAUUUCAAGCCCAAAUUCAAAGAACCUAGAGGCGUUUUUUCUAAAAAUUUUCUGAACAAAAGUUGUCCCUUGAUGAAUGUAGAUAGUGCAAAAACAAAAAAAAAAAAUCACCUAAAGAACUAAAAUCGAGAUCGGAUUUUGAUCAGAAAGGAGGCUGAAUCAUUAGUCUUGGCUCAAGAAAUUUUUCAGCAAUUUUCUGCUAUAUUUUUUCUCUCUCCCCAUUCUCUCUUUUCCUCUCUUUUUUUGUUCUUUUCUUUGCCGUCUUCCCCCCAACUCUCUUUACCCUAAAGCUGCGUCCUUUUAAAUGAGACUAAAACAACAAAACCCUCAUCUCAAUGGUGAGGAUGGAAUGGGUUUUGUUGGCUCAUUUUUGGCAUGAUCUUGUUUCCAGAGGUUUCUUGAUAAUUCUUGCAAGGAUGAGGUGGCCUUUGUACCGGUAAAUUUGGGGAAAAAGAAAAGGAAGAAAAAUCGAAUCCAAAAUGGUCCAAAAAUCCAGCUAUUGUACUGGUUUUUGGUGUGCUGCGUGUUGCACGAGCGCGUCAGGGAGAAUUUUUUUUUUUUUUUUAACAAAAAUUUGAUUUUUCAUUUCCAUUUUCUUUCUUUUCCUAUCUUCACUUUCCUAUAAAAACCAAUCAAAUAAAAAAAAUGAUCUUUCUUGAAAUAAGAAUUAAAUGGUCAAACGUAAAAAAAUAUAUAAAUAAAUGAAUUAUCAAAUUUUGGUGUCUACAUUUUGCAUAAAAAAAUAGUAAGAUUUGUUAAUAAAGUCAUGAGUUUUACCUGAAAAUAGUAGUAAAUUUUGUUUUAAAAAAUGGUAAAUUUUGCUUCAAAGUUAGUUGAAUUUAUUAAUUUUGCACUAAGUUUUACUAAAAAAAAAGUGGUAAAAUUUGUCAAUGAAAUCAUAAAUUUUUCUUGAAAAAAUACUGUAUGUUUUGUAUAAAAGUGGUAAGUUCUGCUAAAAAUUUAGUAAGAUUUGUUAUAUAAAGAAUAACUUGCACAAUAACACUUACUUGUUUUAUAAGAAACUUACUAUCACAAUAUUAGGUUAAAACCUAUACAUGGCAUCACAUGAACCACUCAUUUAUGACUUGUGGUGACUCUUUGUCACUUCAGACUUUUCCAUAAUUCUUUUCAUGGAUUAUCAAAUAUUUUUGUGUAUGUCAAAUAAACCUUUUUUUUUUUAAAUUUUUGCAAAAAGGAGUAAAGAUGUGAUUUAAGAAGUGCAGAGGGGGAAUGGAAAAUUGAAUCAAAUAUUUUUAAUUCCUAAUGUCUCAAUAUAAUUUUUUUCCUAUAGCCACCUAGGCGUGACUUUUUCAAAGUUAAACAGAAGCACACCUUAAUAUUUUUUUCCACCCCUCCCCUAAUCGCAAUCAUUACCGAAAAGUAAAAACCAUAAACUUGAAUCACACCUUAAUAUUUUCUUCCACCCCUCCCCUAAUCGCAAUCAUUACCUAAAAGUUAAAACCAUAAAUUCUUAAGCAAUAAUGACAUCUCCUACUUCAUUAUUAUUAUGGGCGUAUUUAAUAAGGGUAAAACACAAAGGGCCUUCACAUAUCCAUUUUAGAAGGCGUUAUCUCAAACUCAUAAGAAAGUCCACGUCUUGAGAUUUAUGCCCUUAAGGGCGUGAAUUCUAGGAAGAACCUCUUUUUUUUUUUUUUUGGGCAUAAGUGAGAGAUUUUAAAUCCUGAACUUCUUGCUUCACAAUCCCUCCGUCCUGCCUUCAUACAUCCCAAAACUCAAGGACUUUUGCGGCCGUGAAAGUCAUAACAGAAGCCCUCCAGGAAAAACUCAGAACAGAGGGACUAACAGUAACAUCUGAAGUCCCUGAGUUUUGAGUCCUCUUUAGUGAUCAUAUAUCUAAUGAUUUCAACACUCUUUUCUCUUCACUUCCACCGGAGAAUAACUGCCAUGCAGCGGGAGUGCUUGGUGAUUUCCACAAGGCCUUGUUCCCAAAGGCAUCCCUUCAUUUUGCUUGCUUAUCUUGCGCGCUUCACUGCCUUUCAGACGUGCCAAAAAAGGUUGCAGACAUCAUGUCCCCUGCAUGGAACAAAGGAAAGAUUCACUAUGGAGGUGCCAAGAUGGAAGUUUUCGAGGCUUAUGCGUCUCAAUUUGCCAAGGACGUGGAGUCAUUUACAUGGAGAAAUUUCUAAUUUUGUGAUGACUUUUAAAAAAAUUCUACAAAAGGGGUGAUUUUGGUUGGGUAUUCCGUAGGGGGUCUUCGCAUUUGCGGAAUGCGAGCUCUGCUUAUUGAGCUCGCAUUAAUAGAGCGUAUAAUUUUUUUUUUCUCAUUAAAUUUUUUCCAGAAAAUAGUAUGAGCUAAAUGCGAGCGGCUAAAUAAAAAUUUUCAAAUAGCUUGCAUUUGAUAAAUUUGACCUCCAAAAAUUGUAUUUAAUUUUUUUUGUUACAUUUCGCAUUUAUAAGUAUGACUUUCAGAAAAUUAAAUUCAAAGUUGCUAGAAAAAAAAAUUUUAAAUGAAAUUUACGAGCUUCCACCAAAAUGUAUCUUUUUCAGAAAAUGUUGUUUAUUUUGUAAAAUUUGCCUUUACUAAAAUGCUGUCGGUAGUAAAAUCUUAUUUUAAAAACUCUACUAAGAUCUUAUAUUUCACAGAAAUGUUAGAGAAAUGUUAUUUAAAAAUCUGUAAUUAGCAGAGGAAUAAAUUUUUUUAUUUUAAAACUUGCACGUGCCUAAAGUCAUCAAAUUUGUGUUCUAAAAAAAUCAUAUUUCUUUUAUAUUAAAAAAAUUGGUAAUUGUACGGUUGAAAAUACGUUAUUUUAUUAUAAUACAUUUAAAUGGUGGAAAAAGUACAUAUGCAUAGUUCUUUCUAUUUCAUAUAUCAAUGAAAAAAUAGAAUGAAAUUGUUAACAUGUAAGGUGUUGACUAUAUUUUAUGAAUAAAAUACUAACUUAUUUUCCUUUUUUAUAAAAUAAUUUUUUUUAACAAAUUCUAAUUUUCCUUUGUUAUUAAUGAAUCGUAUUUAUUCGUUAACACCGACGAAUAUUAGUUAUAAGAAUCUAAUAGUUAAUAGUCAUUAAUAUCUGUUACAUUUUCAACUGUAAUUUCAGAAAUUUCAUAACGCAAUGUUUUUUUAAAAAAAUUAUAUAAGUUAUUUUUAUGAAGUGCAUGUUAUUUGUUUGGUAGUUGAAAAGGAAAAGAAAAAAAUUAAAUCAAAUAUCUAGCGAUUAAAUCUUGCGUAUUUCACCUUUUACAAUUAUUGGCAGGAUUACUAUUUUGAUUAAAAAAAUAAAGCGAUAAUCAAGGCAAAUUUAUUGCCAUGCAAAAAUCCUAAAACCCUAAGUGCUGAAGGCAUAAAACACGAAAUCGUAAAUCUUAGAAACCAAAUCCUUGUAAACCCUAAAACAUUAAAUCAAGGUUGUUGGGUUAAUUAAAAUCCAUUAAAAAAUAUUUUUGCGGCUCGAUAGGAUUACUAUUUUAAUUAAAAAUCUAAAGUCCUAAUCAAGGCACACUAUUGUCAAAUUAAAAUCCUACAACCCUAAACCCGAAAGUGCUAUUCUCCUAAAACACUAAAUCUUGAUCUCUAAAACCCUAAAACCCUGAAUCCUAAAAGCCUCAAACCCUGAGUGCUAUAUCUAAUGUAGUUGAUGGGCUGAACCAAAGAUAAGAUGUUUUCUUUUGUCUACAACUCAUUUGGUCUUCUCUUUUGUUGCAGAAACAUGUGCCACCGAUUUCUGUCCCUCAAAAUAGUUGGAAAAGUUGUGAGAAAGGUAAAGGAAAACGGCUGUGCCACUUGCUGAAGAGAUAGGCAAAUCCGAGCCUCGGAUCCAAGGGUUGAAUAUAGAUCCGAGCUCGGAUCUUUAGGAUCCGAGGACUUCCCAUGAUGGAUCCGGGGUCGGAUCUUCUGACUUUGGAUACAUUCCUCCGGAAGUACAGACGAGGGAUCGGAUCUCUUUUUGCUCUCACGGAUCCGAGCUCGGAUCCGUGCCAUUAAAUUUCCAGUUUUUUCGCUUCUUGCCUUUUUCCUUCAUUUUUCCUCCUAAUUUCUUGUGUACUUUAUCCUCUGGACAAUCCUUACACUUGUUUCAGCUAGUGCAUGAACUUCAUAUAUCGAUGUCUCUCACAUUUCACAAAAUUAAUGCAUUAAUCCACUCACAAUUUCACAAAAUUGAACAUUUUGGCCAUUAACUUGAAAUAUUGGAAAAUUUUUUAAAAUCUUCUCGGGAAACACAACUCUAAUGUACGAUUUACGCAUAGCUGCCUUAGAGAAAUUCGUUUCUCAUUUGCAUCUCAUGUUUAAUUCCCUUAAUUAGAACCCAUUUUCUAUUUUAAACGGAGCUUGCCCCUUUUUUCUUUUUUUUUUUGUUUUAUCUUCCUCAACGCAAAAAAAUAGACAUUUUUAAAAAAAUUAUAAUAACAGAGAAAUUUCUAAAAUUAUGAUGAAUUUUAAAAGAAUUCUACAAAUGGGACAUUUUGAGCAUGGGAUUCCGUCCAAAGGGUCUUCACAUUCAGCAAAUGCGAACUCACGGAGCUCGAAUUUUUGAACAACGAAAUCCAAAAAAAAAAAAUUAAAUGAAAAAAAACCAGACCUCGCAUUUAUGAAAUGCGAGGAUCCGAGCUCGGAUUAUUUCUGGCAUCCCUCGGAUCCAACAGGGUUCGGAUCCGUCUCAACAGAUGCUCAGACGAGCCCUCGGAUCUUAGUUAACAACUAUGGAUCCGAGGUCGUAUCACCCAUUUUCGCCUUUGAUUCUCAAAGGAUCCGAGGUCAGAUCCGUCUGUGUUGCGUCGGAUCCGACCUCGGAUCUUGCUUUUUCUGCACUAAUUGCAGAAACUGCAAAUAAACUGCAACAAAUUGGAAACAGAAAAAUUGCAAGAAUUCGAAAAAUGUAACGUAUAUCUUCAAGUCCACCACAAAAAUUGCAAAAUUAAGCACAACCCACAUCAAAUUUAUACCCAAAUUUCACAACAAAUCUGAACUUGCCCUUGGAUUCAAGUAUUCAAGUAUUAAUUCAAGUAUUAAGUGACGCAUUGCAAGUGGAAAAGCCUCACCUUUAUGCUGUUUGAGAGUCACAAUGGGACGGCAAUGCUGGCAAAUUUUGGGAAGCGGCACUCGCGGAACCAGUCUUUCGAUGCUCCGGUCAGCUCCGAUGUUUGGAUGCUUCGAUGUGCAGAACCCAGCUCUGUUUUCUUUGUUUUGCUGUUCGGCCACUCUGUUUUCUUUGUUUUGCUAUUUGACAGACUCACUUUUCUCUUUUUUUUUUCGAAAUGGGGUGUUGGCGCUCCUCAGUGUGUGACCUCGCAUUCGGGGAAUGCGAGCUCACUGAGCUCGCAUUCGAGGUCAGUGGUCACACACUGACCUCGCAUUCGGGGAAUGCGAGCUCAGUGAGCUCGCAUUCCCCAAAUGCGAAGACCCUAUUUUUAGAAACCACUCCGCAAAACGCCCUCGUUGUAGAAUUCCUUUUGUUUUCCAUCAUAAACUAAGAAUUCACCCCAUUUACAUGAGCUGGUCGAUGGAGGGUUGAUGGCCCUUCUACCCCUGUUGCUGUCCGUGAAUCUCAGACAACUACCAUCACAGAGGUAGAACUAGAAGUUCUAGGAUCUUGCCUCAUGGAUUUGGCUAAGAAGGUGAGAUUUCACUAGUUUCAGAUCUUCUUCAACUAAGAACUCUAUUUGAAUAACCCUCAAUGUUGGGACGCAAAGUAGAAUUUUGAUUUUUUUUUUCAACACUUGAAUAGUAUUAAAUUCGAACAUUUAUCUUCUAGCAUUGGAUAGUAAACAGUUUUAGAUAGUCAAAUUAGUUAAAUUAUUCAUUUUUGAAUUCAAAUGGCAUUCGGAAUUCAUUUUUUACGCUUCUACGAACAUGUGGGAUGGGAUUUUUCUGGAUCAGAUCGUUGCAGGAAGGGGCAGCGGCCCCUCAAGAAUUUUAAAAAUUUCACUCGCACUCUUAUGAAUUCUAAAAAGUUAAUUUGUAUUAUGAAUUUGGCCUUAAGAAAUUAUUCUGAUAUCAGUUACUUGCCCCUCUUCCCAAGCUUGAGUGAGAAUUUGGUAUCCUGUUGAAAUAUUUUUGACAUUUUACUUUUGCCCCACAAAAACUUCAAACAUUUUACUUCCAAACAACAAUGUAAAUGAGUCUAAUUAAAUCAAACACUCAAGUCUUCAAACUUGUCUGUAAAUUUUAAAGAAUUUAAAAUUGCGUUUAAAUUUGGCUUCUUUAUUCAUUGUUUUGAGUUCACAUGAGCUUUUAUCGAAUUGAGCUCGAUUGAAUUUUUCACAUACAAACUUGUCACUUAAAUUAGUGAGAAAAUAUUUAAUCAAAUCAUUAGAAAUAUCAUAUGUGGUUAUUUAGGCCACACAAAAUAUAUAUUCUAACAUGAUGUCGUCAACCAAGCUUAUAGUUGGACAAUAAGGUAUGUGAGAUUUUAUUCUUUGUUAUUCAUCCUUUAUAAGUUCUUUUUUAUUCAUCCAUUACAAUGGAUAGCUUCUAGAUAUGCUUGAUUAUGCAAGCUAAUGCUACACAGUCAGGAGCAGCUGUUUCAAAGCCAUUUCUUGGGUUGCCUUUGGCAACUAACAACACCAGCACAGUCCAUAAGGUCCACUAAAUUUGUUUCAUGUUCUCUUUUUGCGCUUCAGGAGGACAAAAAUAACCACCACAUCCUGAUUCUCAGGGUUAAAGAGAGAGGAAGACUCUGCAAGUUUCUGCGUAAACAGUUCAAACAAUUCAUCCAUGAUAUCACUUCCAAAUUGUUUCUCUAGAAGUCCCUCUAAUGCAGCUCUGAGGUACAAAGCAAUUCCACUAGGGUUGGAGAAAACCACAUGCUUUCCUGGAAUGCUUAAUAUCUCCAUUCUCUGAACAUUUAGAUGUUCAUUUGCCUUCAUCAGGGUCUUUAUCUCAUUAGGAGAUGGGAGAUAUAGUGGCAAGUUGAACAUAUCCACUUUCAAUUCAUCGACCAAUCCCUGCAAUAGGUGCAUCUUAGUAUUUAAAGUACUUUUUUUUUGUUAGCCAAAACCUAUAGUCGAAAUUCGAAGAUAAACUUUGACCAAAACUCAUUCUUAUGUAGUAUAUGCAAAAUAAAGAAACUGUAAAAUUAAAAAAUCCUACUCAUGGAUUUGCAACUGCUAUUUUUAAGCUGAAGACAUGUUUCAGAAAUUAUGGAGCUUACUCGUGACCAAGGAGGUAUUCCAUUCAUUCUCUGCCAUUGGUAUAUUAUGCCUGAUUUGGUUGAUUUCCUAUAUCUGUUUUGUUUCAUCCUGGAAGAAAUGUUGGGAAAAGAGAUUGGUGCCUUGUUGUGACGCUUUUGGGGCAGCAUUAAUUAUCUGGUAUGAUUUCUAUUCUGUCCAUGUUUGUUACAAGUAGUAAAUUUGACGUAUGAAGCUCACUUCCAUCCAAUACUUUGUACCUUUUUAUUUCAGCGAAAUAAGUACAUAAGUUUAGAGGGUAAGGACUUAAUAUCAAAAUAAUAUCUUAUAUUUGCAAAUAGGAAUGAAAAACGAACGAAAAUAUAUUAUACUUGAAUUGAUGUUGAAAUAGUAAAAGCUAAUUUGCGCUUAGUUCACCAAUGAAAUUUAUAUGUGAAAAAUUUAAUUGAGUUUGACUUGAUAAAAGCUAAUCUAAAUUCAGCGUAAUAAAUAAAUGAAUUAAAUUUAAAUACAAUUUUAAACUCUUUAGAAUAGAUAGACAAGUUUGACAACUUGAGCGCUUGGCUCAAUUAGCUUCAUUCAUAACCCUAUUUGCAAGUAAAAGUUUUGAAAUUUUUUGUGGGGCAAAAAAAAAUGUCAAAAAUAUUUCCACAGAAUACCAGAUUCUCAAUUCUCAUGCUUGGGGAGAAGGGUAAUUUCUUAAGGCUAAUUAUAAUACAAAUAAACUUUUUAAAAUUCAUAAGAGGGAAAAUGAAUUUUUUAAAAUUCUUGAGGGGGUGGCUGCCCUCCCUGCAAAGAUCCGAUCCAACAAAACUCCUGUCCCGCAGGUUCAUAGAAGUGUUAAAAAAGAAUUCCAAAUGUCAUUUGAAUUCAAAAAUGAAUAAUUUAACUAUCUAAAACUAUCUAGGAUAUAUUAGAUCAUAAUUCAAAUUUAAUAUUAUUCAAGUGACAAAGAAAAUCAAAAUUCUAUAUAUGUUGCAUCCCUGCAUUGCGAUGUAUUCGCAUAGAGUUCUUAGUUGAAGAAGAUCUGAAACUAAUGAAAUCUAACCUUCUUAGCCAAGUCCAUGAGGCAAGAUCCUAGAACUUCAAAUUCUUUCUCUGUGACGAUAGUUGUCUGAGAUUCACGGAUGGCAUCAGGGACAGCAGGAAUAACAAGGGCCAUCAGCCCUCCAUCGACUAGCUCGUGUGCCCUUGCAUUCAGAAAUGACUCCAAGUCCUUUGCAAAUUGAGAUGCAUAAACCUCAAGAACUUUCUUUUUGGCCCCUCCGUGGUGAAUCUUUCCUUUGUUCCAUGCAGGGGACGUGUUGUCUGUAACCUCUUUUGGCACAUCUGAAAGCCAGUGAAGUGCGCAAGAUGAGUGAGCAAAAUGAAGGGAUGUCUUUGGGAGCAAAACCUUGUGGAAGUCACCAGGCACUCCAGCUGCAAGGUAGUGUCUCUCUGGUGGAAGUGAAGCAAAAAGUGUGUUGAAAUCAUUAGAUAUAUGGUCAUUAAAGAAGACUUGAAACUCAGGGACUUCAGAUGUUAGUCCCUCUUUUCUGACUUUUUCCUCCAGGGCUUCUCUUAUGACUUUCAUGGCCACAAAUGUAUUUGGUCCUGUAGAGCAGCCAAAAUCUGCUAUGCGAAAUGGAUGCACAGAGGUUGAAAAGGUUGCUUGACAUCAAGUUCU
This 79202-nucleotide long non-coding RNA is filed under the name Coffea arabica (coffee). RNAcentral's name for it is "long non-coding RNA (CARA_LNC005300)". The record is from RNAcentral. Lineage: Eukaryota; Viridiplantae; Streptophyta; Magnoliopsida; Gentianales; Rubiaceae.